This 85109-nucleotide long non-coding RNA is filed under the name Cucumis sativus (cucumber). The record is from RNAcentral. Lineage: Eukaryota; Viridiplantae; Streptophyta; Magnoliopsida; Cucurbitales; Cucurbitaceae.
UUUUUUUUUUUUUGUUUAUCAUUACUUUUUACUUGUUUUAAAAAAUUAAGUUAAAAUUUGAAAACUUCAAACUUUAAUGCAUGCUAUAACUAUAUGAGAUCUUGUCUAUAUCAGGCAGGGUUCAAACUACUAAUUGAUGAUCUAUUGUCAAAAUCAGGUAGGGUUAAAAUUAUAAUAGUUGCAAUUUGUAAUUAAUAAUACAAGAAGAAAUGUUAAGGAGAGAUUGAUGAAUUUUGUUAUAUUGUCUAAAUAGUUUAAAUAAUUUGAUAUUUUUGAAAAUACUACUUAAUAUUUCUCUUUUUUAAAAUUCUGUUGUUUCAGUAAUAAUAAAUUUAUUUCUCUUUUUUAAAAUUCUGUUGUUUCAGUAAUAAUAAAUUUUUGCAGCUUACCAUAUAUUAUAAAUAUUUUGAAAGUUUUUUUUUAAAAAAAUAGAAAAGUUAACAAAUUAUUUACUCUAUAACAAAAACAAAACGAUAAAAUCCAUUAUAUUAAAUUUUUGUAUGAAAUGUAACAUUGUAUUUUUUUACAAAUUUUAUAUUUUCAACAUUUAAAAUAAAUUUGGGUGCUUAAAUAUUAGUAUUCGGAAAGAGUUUAGAUCUGAAUUGUAGAUAUUAUAUAAAAAAAAAGUAGGUUUGGUAGGGGUAUGGGUGAUGAGAUAGAAAGAGUUAAUUAAGUAUUAAUUUAUGUUACACAAAAGUCAAGAAGUUCAUCAAAUCAUCAAAGCGUAUUAUUGGGCGGCACAAGGAUUCAUUAAGCUUGUUUAUUGUUUGUUUAAUACAAAUCACGGAAAGUUCAUAUUUAUUUCUUUGUCUCUUUUCUAAACAAAUGGUUUUCUCUUUCCCCACGUCUCGGCCGUCGUCUUUUCAGAAUUUUAAUGUAACUUUUUUUUUCAAUUAUUUUAAAAUAAAUGCUUUUUUCUAUUAUUCAAUAUUUAAUUUCACUUUUUUCUCUUGCGUUAACUAGCAGACAAAUAUUUAAGAUUGAAGUAUUUUUAAAAUAAAUAAAAAAAAGGUAGCUUUCUUUACGUAGUUUUGAAAAGUUAAUUGGUCUAAUUAUUAGAGUUUUACUGCAAAAUAUUCUAUACCCAACAAACAAAAAAAGUUUAAACACUUUCCCUUAAACUUUUGAAUUUGAGUUCGAUCUUACUAUACUAUACGUACUUUUUAUAAAAGUGAGUAUUGUUUUAUUCACAUAAUCUAUGUGUUGUCCACAUGGAGACUAGAGGGAAAAAAGUUGUAGUGGUUAGUUUGGAUAUUGAAUUCGUUAUACAUAAUAUAUGCCAAAUAUAAUGCUUGAAUAUUAACAUAAUGGAAGAGUUUAUCUUAGUGGAUCGUUAUUGUGUUUUUGAAGUUGGAUGGAUGUUUAGACUUUCACUGCAUUUAUGUUUUCAUGUUGUUUCACACUUUAUUAUUAUUAAUUCUAGAAUGUCUGUACCUUCUCAUUGUAAUUACACUAAAAUUAAAUAACUUGCCAAACCUUGAACAUAGACUUGUUUGUUUGUAUUUUGAUGAGAUAUUAGAAUUUGAAUUUUGAUGCAUUUGCAAUAUAACUGUAUGUGUCAUUUCAUGAAACAGUUGGGGAUGGGAAGUGCAGUAGAAACUCUAUGCGGGCAAGCCUAUGGCGCAGAGAGAUUCGAAAUGCUAGGCAUUUAUUUACAAAGAUCAACAAUAUUACUAACCAUAACAGGCAUUUUCUUAACAAUCCCCUACAUCUUCUGCAAACCCAUCCUCCUCUUUCUAGGUGAAUCCAAAGACAUUGCUUCCGCAGCCGAAAUCUUUGUCUAUGGCUUAAUCCCUCAAAUCUUUGCCUACUCCUUAAACUUCCCAAUCCAGAAGUUUCUUCAAGCUCAGAGCAUUGUGUUUCCUAGCGCUUACAUAUCGGCAGGGACGUUGGUGAUUCACAUGCUGCUCAGUUGGUUGACUGCCUAUAAAAUGGGGAUGGGGUUGUUGGGAGUGUCGUUGGUAUUGAGCUUGUCGUGGUGGAUAAUAGUGGUGGGUCAAUUUUUGUAUAUUAUUAAGAGUGACAGGUGUAAGAAGACAUGGCGAGGGUUCAAUGUGCAGGCGUUUUCGGGGUUGUAUGGAUUCUUCAAGUUAUCCGCGGCGUCGGCGGUGAUGCUGUGUUUGGAGACUUGGUAUUUUCAGAUUUUGGUAUUGCUUGCUGGUUUGCUUGAGAAUCCUGAGCUUGCUCUUGACUCCCUUUCCAUUUGGUAUGUUUUUUUUUUUCAUCUUCCCUUUUCCUCUCUAAAAUUUGAAAUUUUACUUAAUAAUUAUGAAAACUUGAAUAUUCAACUACAUAAUUAUAUUGCAUUCAUUAUAGAGUUAUAUCUUAUCUUUAAAUUUGAAUUAUUGACUACUAAUAAAUAUGAACAAUUUUUUCAUUCUAAUGUGACCCACUAUCAAAAACUUCCUAUGAAUUAUUCCAAAGUGGCAGCUUAAUUAAUUAAUUGUUACUUCUCUUAUUAUUAUUUUUAUUUAUCCACAAUUAUCAACUUCAUUUAGUUACUAUUUACUUUGAGAAAAUAAAACUUCUUUUAAUUAUUGUCAUAAAUGUGGGAGUUCAAAGUUUGACAAAUUUUAGUUAUGUGACACAGCAUGAACAUAUUUGGAUGCGUUUACAUGAUUGCAGUGGGUUUUAAUGCUGCAGCCAGGUAACUUUUCUCUAUUCUCUAAUUUCAAUACAUAUUCGUUUUUUAUCAAUUAAAUUUAAGAUUUGUUCCAUAUACAAACACUAAAUUUUAGAAAUUUAAAACUAUAGGAAACUAGUAAUGGAGCAUACAAUCUUCAUCUUUUUAGGGUACAAUAAAAGUUUAUGUUAUUUACAUAUUCUAUAUUUUAAUAAUUAUAUUUAUUGUACAGUUUUCGGUUUCUCAUAUCAAUUUUUUUGAUUUUUUUUUUUUAUAUGUAGAGAAUCUACCUUUAUGAAAUUGAAAUUUAAAAGUUUUUAGAAGAUAACUAUGGAAGUGAUGAUCCUAAGUUAAUAGUUAAGGACAAAAGUCGUAGUUUAAGAUUUUGGAGGUAAUAUUAUAGAAUGCUAAUUAUUUAGUUUGUACGAAUGACAGUGUGAGAGUGAGCAAUGAACUGGGGAGUGCGAAUCCAAAAUCUGCAGCAUUCUCUGUGGCGGUGGUGGUUGCCAUUUCAACUAUCAUCUCCAUAAUCUGUGCUUUACUUGUAAUUAUAUUCCGCGACAACAUUAGCUAUAUUUUUACUGAUGGUGAGGCUGUAGCUGCUGCUGUUUCUGAUCUUUGUCCACUUCUUGCAAUCACCCUUAUUCUCAACGGAAUCCAACCCGUCUUAACCGGUAAUUAAACUAAAUCUCAAACCAUUUAUUUGAACACUCCUUAAAUUAUCAUCGCUUUUGUGCUUAUGGUUUGAUCUUUAAAGGGGUCGCGGUUGGGUGCGGGUGGCAAGCUUUCGUCGCGUAUGUAAAUAUUGGUUGCUAUUACAUAGUUGGAGUGCCCCUUGGCUCCCUCCUCGGCUUCUAUUUCAAUUUUGGUGCAAAGGUAAUCAUUUUCAAAUCUUAGCUUAGUUGAUAUUUAUCUCUUUAAUUUCUAACAUUACUCAUGCUUUGGUAUACGAAUUACACAUUGCUGAAUGAACAUUUGUCUCUUUUUAUUUUGAAAUUGAAUGACAGUUUAGUUUUGUGUAAACUAUGUGCACAGGGAAUUUGGGUUGGAUUGAUGGGUGGAACCUUCAUGCAGACUCUAAUUUUGGUGUGGGUGACAUGGCGAACAGAUUGGAAUAAAGAGGUAAUUUUAUUUUAAAUUCAACUCGUUCUUUGUUUCUUUCUUUGAGACCCUUUUCUAAUAGCUUUAAAUUGACAUAUGUUGAGAAAUAACAAAAUAAAAUUGAAAUGAAUUAAACAGGUGGAAGAAGCAAUAAAAAGAUUGAGCAAAUGGGAUGACACAGCAAAGCCAAUUGUUGAGUAGUGACAAUGACUAACUUUUCAAAUCACAGAAACAAAACAAAAAAAAAAAAAAAAAAAAAGAGAUUGAGGAAUUGCUACAUAUGAUGGCAUGUGAAAUUUUGUUAUGUAGCUUAAUGUCUCUACUUUGCCUCAUUGGAAAAAAGAAAGGAGAAAAAAGAGGUGCCUUAUCAAAACAAUUUGCCAUUUCUUUUUCUUUUUUUUCUUUUCAAUUUAAAUGGUCAUUUAGAGUUUUAAUCUUUGUAAUUUAGAGGUUUGUUUUAUUGAAUCAAUCGAUUUGAUUUGAUUUGGUUGUUUGUUGACCUAAAUUCUUUUGAAUUGAAUUGAAUAUCUCUUACUGAUUCCAAUGAAGUUGAAGUUGGCUUCUUAAAUUAAUUUUUAUCAAAAUUGAUUAAACAUCAAAUAAAAUUAACACAAAAAAGGUAAAUAUUUGGUCACUAUUUACGAAGGAAAUGUUAAAUUGUCAUUUUUGAAAAAUAAAAAUAAAUCAACAAUAAACUAACUCAAACGAUGAAUAGUUUAUAAAGCACUAAAUUAAUAAUUUAAACGUAUACUUUUACAUAGGUGACCUUUUGAAACAAGAAACAAUGACAAGAAUAACUGAAAAAUAUACAAUAAUUAUGAACUUAGCAAUGGUUUGAAUUUAUAAAUGUAGCAAAAAAAAAAAAAAAGAUUUUCUUUGUUAUCAUUCCAAUUUGAAUUCUUUGGUAAAUAUACAUAUAUUUGGUGUAUGGAUUAACUAAUAACUUGGUAUUUAUGAACUUAAUUUGAAUCCUUCAUUUGGUUCAAAGUAUUAUUAUUUCUAUAGCAUCUCAUACACUCACAAUGAUUUCAAUCCGACAUUGUUGGUAGCCAUUUCAAAUGUUCGUCGACGAACUAUUGAUACUCUAUGUACGAAAAUAUGUUUAGAUGUCAAAGUAAAUGUAACUCACAUGCCAUCAAUAUCCAUAUCAAAACAAGAGAUAAAGAUUAAGAAGAUGGGAGGGGAAAGAAAUUUCACAGUUUUUUUCUUUUUCAACCUAGAAAAAAAACAAAGUCAUUUUUGUAAAAGAUUUUACGGUGUGAAUUCUAGCAAAUUUUCACAUUCAAUGGAAGUCAAACAGUAAUGUGACAAUAAUCCUUUCUGAUAAUAGAAAAAAAAAAUACAAAUAUUUCAAAAAGAGAAUAAAAAACCAACAAUGAAUUUUACAAAGCCAUUACUUCUUCUUCCCUGCUUUUCCUUCUUUUCUUCUUACGAUUUCAUCAGCAUAUUUCACUCCUUUACCCUUGUAAGGUUCUGGGGGUCUCCACUGUCUAAUAGAGGCAGCAAACUGACCAAUGGCACAUUUAUCAUAUCCACUUACUGUAAUUCUUGUGUUUUCUUCCACUUUUAUCUGAAUCCCAUCAGGUAUCGCCAUUCUAACUGGAUGAGAGAACCCAAGAUUUAGUACCAAGUCUUUUCCUUCUACCAUUGCUCGAUAACCGACACCGAUCAAUUGAAGUUUCUUUUCGAACCCCUUCGAUACUCCUACCACCAUGUUGUCUGUAAGCGUCCUGAGGAAAUCAAUUCAAAUGGUCAUAUAUGACACCAUGCCUACACAUUUACUCUUUCUCCAUCAGCCAUAAUUCAUUUGAAUUUCAUAAGGAACAAAGGGCUGGUUGUUUGCAUUCAUAACAUGAAGUCAUCUUUGGAUUUUCAGAAUUUGAAAAGACAUAAAAGCAAGUGACCCGUGUAAACUAUCUCCAAAUAACUCAAAAGCUUAAGCUGAUAGGUGAAGGUAAACUUUAUAUUAUACCGUCCAAGUAAAACUUAAAGAGGAAGAAAAGUGAAAUCCAUGAUGAGAAUACCUGAAAAGUCCAUGCAUUUGAUUGGCUCUUCUUGUCUCCAGUGCUUUCUUAACUCUUAUGAUCCCAGAAUCUUCCCUCUCAAUUUUAACCUCUCGUGGAUAAAGAAUUGAAAGUUCUCCUAAAGGACCCUUAACUUUCAAAUCCUGACCCUGCAAUGUGAUGGUUACACUGGAUGGCACUUGAAUUGGUUGCUUCCCUAUUCGUGAUUCCUUGCAUUCUAUAGUCUUCCUCAACAGACCAAUAUGACAUGCAGGCAUUGCAGAAACACAGAAUCCAUUUUUUUCUCCCAAAAAUGUAGACCGAAAGUUGCUGAGAUACAAUGAGGAAAAUGGUUUCAGUAGACAACAACACAAACAAUGAACGUGUGUAAAUAUAUAUAUAUAACCAUCCCCUAAAUACAAAAAAGAAAAUGAUGUUGAAACAAAAGGAGUAUAGAUAAAGAAAAUUGAUCUUUUUUUCCUUCGUAUCAAACAUACAACACAAGUCUUAAAUCAUUUGUGGCUCAACUGGAUAAAUAUUGAACAUCCCAGUCCUAGGAAAAAAUGAAACCUACUAUGAUGCUUUUUCGAGAACAACAAACGUGCAUAUGAGGAUUUGAACUUCUAGAGGUAGUGUUAUGCUCAUGUUGGCAACUGACUAAUGUGUUUAUGAAAUAGUUUCUUAUUCUUUUUUUCUAGUAAUAAGACUUUUCUUCAAGGAGCUCAAACCAUUGUUAUCCAUCAUCUAAGGCCUGGCUUUAUACACUCCAUAAGCUUACUUGCUUGAGAACAUUAAUUCAAGGGCAUCCCUUACAAGCUCUACUCAGUAAAUCAAUCGAGUGAGAAAAAUUUUCCAAUAGACUCACUCCAUGUUCAAGAAAUGUCCACAAUUCUAAUUUCUUGAUAACUCUCUAAAUGCAAAGAGCCAGUCACAUAAAAGAAAGGAUAUUGUGUAGAUGGCCAUUGUUAGUGAUGGCUAAAGGUUCAAACACACAAAAAUCAACCCAAAGGCCAGUGUAACAGAAGCUCUACACAUAUUCAAACAGAAGAGGACUGAAACCUCCUAACUGGAAAGGGCAGACAGAGGAAUAUUUUUUUACCAACAACUACAAUGUUAAGACAACAUAAAAACAAAACUAGAUUUAAGGACCCUGGUAUGAUACUUAAUCUAAAUUCUAUCUACCAUAUCUACACCUUCAUGGCAUCAUGACCAGCGGAAAAAAAAUUCACUCUUUUAAACAAUUCUCUAGAUUGAUGCCUUUUGUUUUCUGAACUUGACUUGGUUUUUGUAAACAUGAAUUGAAAGUACAUAACAAACGCAGAAACGUAAUAGUAGAAGCAGUAUUUAUAAAAACCAAAUGGUUAUCAAACAAGACAUUAGUAAUUAAAAAAACAACUUACUCAAUAUUGAUUUACAGUUUGUGUAAGCUCUAGGUGUUAUGGUUGUGUAAAUCCUGGAUGGAUAUGCGUUUGGUUAUAAUGUUUUUAUCAUGUUUAUUUUCUAAAGGAGUGAAUUAUUUCAGGGUUGCACUUAAUGUAUGUUUAUGGGUUAUCUAGGUUUAGUGUUGCACGUAAAGUAUUAUAUAUAUAAGAUUAGAAUGUUUAUCAGGUUCAAGAGUUCAGCGGAGUCGGCAAGUAUCGUUGGAGGAGAACGAUGUCAGUCGGCAUCAUGCCGUCAUCCGAGCUAAGCUAGUAGGUAGUUCAGGAGGGGGUAUGACAAUUUUCUUUCACCUUAUCCUUAAGGCCCACCCCAAUUAUACUUGGAUGUAUGUUCUCAAAGGGAGAAGCCACAAAACUAAUCAAUAUGGAGAUGUCAUUCUUCCCCUAUUUCACAUUGUCGAAGUAAGAUAAAUUUAAUCUAAAAGCGAACUCAACAUUCAAUCUGAACUACGUGCAAUAGAAUCAUUGAAAUUUCAAGGUUUGUUGUCAACGUCUUGGUGGAAUGGCUACAUACUUGAAAAAAUUCAACAAAGAAAUUAUAGAUAUAACUAAUUCAUCAUUAGACCAAAAUGGAAGACACACAACCCCAACAACCCCAAAAUCAACCGAUGCGUUUCAAGAAGCUCUCUGAAUGUGAAAAAAGGAACAAUUAAGAAAAUUCCCGGUACACGUAAAUCAUAUAUAUACCCUGAACCCUGAAAAUGAGUCUCCCAAAGAUUUUCCUGAGGUCUAGACAGACAUCCUCAAAUUAAGUCAGCUAAAUAGCCAGAAAUGUAGGCACGAAUUAUCACGAAUUCAUAUAUUUAGAAAAGAAAAAAACACAAGAACUUACUUAGGUGAGUGUAUCGAAGUUGGAGGUUGAAGAGAAGGAGGAGAAGAGAGUGCCAUUAUGAGUGUGAGAACAGAACACCCAAGUGUGAAAGAGCGAGAGAGACCCCCUUUGGGUCCGAUUACGAAGAAGAUGACACAGUGACUUGCAGGCAGGCAAGAGGUGACGAGAAGGAUAAGGUGGAGAAGACAGAAUUCUGAAUUGGGCCGUUUGGGCCAUGUAUGAUUUGUGGUCCGUGAGCUCUUCAAUGAGGCCCAUAUUCAGAAGUCUUUUUUAUUAGUUCAAAUCCCAAAUGUCAUCAACCUCUUUCUAUCCUGCAAGAAGGGUUUGUACGUUAGAGUCCUUCUCUCAACUCUUACUUAAUAUGUCGUGUGGUCUAUGAUCACUUGAAGAGAUUCUUCAUUACGUGAUCCUGCUUUUGAGUCUAGUUUUCAUCUUCUUUGGUAUUGUAAGUGUAGAAGUAAACACAUUUAGUUUCUCUAAGACGACAUGAUGCUUAGCUAUGCAGAGACAUUUUCUAUAAUCUGAAACUUUUGGUUGGAAAAUCUAAAAACAAGGUUGAGUUUCAGUGUUGGUUGAUUCCAUUAGUGGUAUUCAUCAUACCAUACUUCUGUUUGUAGUUUUCUGUUACUUAAUCACAAGAAUAACUACGUUACACCCAUGACUUCCUUAUCAAUGCUUUGUCUUGCUUUAUCUUGUUUUCUUUGAUUGUACUAAAAGAUUUUCAUUAUGUUAUUUCAAUACUCUUUCAAAUAAAAAGGGGUCAAAAGGAGAUUUUGUCUUUUGCAAUCACCCAUUCAUUUACACCUUUUUACCACAUGCUUGAAAUGAUUCCAUAACGUGCAUUUUAUACUUUGUUAGUGUGACAAUAAAUUAGGGUUUGAUCCAAAACUUCCUGUUGGGGGCAACUUCACAUAAAGUUUAAUACAUAAAAGUUUGUCAAUAUGAUAUAUAUCUAAUCACAGAAUUCCUUUUACUUUCUUCAGAAUAAGACCGAUCAGUUCUAAACUUUUUUUUUUUCUUUUAGAACAAAUGUCAUGUGAUGGUGUAGAAGUAAAUAUACUAUGAAACAACAUGCUUUUGCUGAUUAUUUUCACUCUUAUAAAUGAGAUCCAUAUGUCUAAUAUCAUGUAGGGUUGCUUUUUGUCCUUGUCUUUUUACCUUUAGAAAAAGUAGAAGAUAGAUAAAUCACAACCUAAUCUCUAACUUUUAAAUUUUGUACAUAUUCGAUUUUUAAACUAAGAGAAGUUUAACAUGUCAAUGUGAUUAAAUGCUAUUAUAUAUUACCGUGUUAGCGGUUCUAGAAUUACCUUAAAACUAUAUUCCAAUUGUUAUUCAAUUUUUGUAUCUAACACUUUAAAUAUUCAAUUUUAAUGUAUAAAAUUCAAAUAAAUCUUAUGUUUAGUCUCUAUUACAAGUUUAUUAUUAAUUUUUAUAAAAACUUGGGUUCUCUUUCAACCUUAUUUUUCACUAUAAAUUUGAAAAAUAUAUUCACAAAUUGCAUCUCAUUGCAUAAAUAUUAUUAUUAAAUAUUCUAAUUGGUUUUGAUAAAAUUAACUUUGAAGAAUAAAGGUUACCAUCUAUUUGUUACUAUCAUUGGAUAACAAUUUCAAUACUCUUUUAAAAAAAUCAAGUCCAUUUCUUUUUAUAUUUUUACUAAAGUCUUGUGCUAUGAGCGCAUAAGCAGGUAAAGCGUGCAUGUGUUGAGCUAUCAAGGAAAUAAUAACCUCUAAAGAGGCUAAAGCAAGACCUAAUUGAAAAUGAAGCGAAUUAUUGAUUGUGUCAUAAAGACUUUAUUGUUUACGCCACAAUGCCUUCUCAAUGGAAUAUAUGCUUCUAAAAUAUAUGAUACGUAUGACUUAGAUGUCUCAUAUUUCUAAAAAAAAAAGCGAUUUGAUUGAUGGGAUUUGGUGAGUCUUGAUCGUUACACAUGACGAUGCUAUGGAAUCAAGCCUGUUGUUAAAGAAGAAAAUCAACAUAUUGCUUGUGUAGCUUAUCUCCUAGAGACCUUUUUGAAGAAGGUUAUGUUACUAACAUGUUUACUUCGAUUGUGGAUAAACUUAUUGAUAUUGGAUUCCUUCCGCCAUCCUACCCUUUGAAUUAUUAGGAUUGAAAAGGAUUUGCAUCUUUUUAAAUACAAGAAUUAAAUCGAUAGAAAAAAAAAACUAAAAUUGAAAAUUUGAAAACCAAAACCAGUUGGUUUUAGUUUUAGUUUUAGUUUACAAAAUUUGAGUUGAAAUUGGAAAGAGAGUAUAAAAAGAAAGGCAAGAAAUGAAAGUAAAGGGGGAAUUGUGAGUUAGAUUAGUGGAAUGUGAGGGAUUGAGUUGAUUUGACAAACAAAGUUCCGACGUCGAUAAUAAUAUUUGUGAAGAAUCACGUGCAACUUUUCAUCUUUGUUUCACCAUUCAUUUUUCCCUGUAUCCCUUUUUCUUUUUCCAUGUCGUGCAACUUGCGUUAUACUCUGCGUCCUUUGACAUGGCUACCCUUUCUUUAUUCAUUCAAUGCUCUUAAUUGCUUCUUCAAUUCCACCCUCACUUCUUAUCAUCCCCAUCUCAAUCUACCAAGUGCUCAACCAGUUCCCCAUCGUUUUGUAUCUCUUUUUCAUUCAUUUCAUUCUCAAACCAACCCUUCUACAGUUAUUAAAAGGGACUCUUGUGAAUUUAAAACAGGUCUUUUUAAUGGUUCAUUUUGUUCCUCUGUCUCUGCUCUUUGUGUUUCAUGCUUUCAUAUGGCUCUUUCACCUCACUCCUCCGAUCUACUGCCAAAUUCCUUCUAUUCUUAACAUCGCUGCCGUUUUUACUUUUGAUUCCGUCAUCGGAAGAGCUGCUAAGCCGGCCAUGGAAGCUGCAAUCUACGAUAUAAACGCCGACCCCAAUAUCUUGAAUGCCACAAAGCUUAAAUUUUUCAUGGAAAACUCUAAUUGCAGUGGCUUCUUGGGCUCCGUUCAAGGUAUAUCCCUUUCUUUCUUUCUUCUUCUUCUUUUCCUUCAUCUAGUCAAACUCCCUUCAAUAAUUAUAUCUACUGUUCAGAUGCUACCUAGCUCUGAAAUCUAAAAUAGUUAUUUUUAUUUAUUUAUUUGUUUGUUUUUGAGUUUGAGUUGCUCUAGUCCAACUCAACCAUCAUGUUCGUUCAAUUUAUGAUCGAUGAUUUAACAAAUAGUUUUUUUAUAUUUUCUUUGAGUUUCUGUAAUCAGUACUCUUGAGAGUUGAGUCAAGGAUAAAAGGUGGUCAACCUUCCAUUUAGAAGCUUUUUCAUUCAACUGUCCCUCCUUUCAUUUUUUAAUUUUUAUAAGACUAUGUAUACAAAAAGUUCAAAAAACGUAAAAUUUUGCUUCUCUCUGUCCUGCUCUUGUUUAGUCAAAGUUUAGAAGUUAUUGUUUGAGCCUCCUUGUUCUUUGCUGAAAAUGUGGUCAAAGUUUUCAUCCUUAUUUCAUGAUUGUCUCUCCAUGGGUGGUAGCUUUGCAGGUACUUGAGAAAGAGAUUGUAGCCAUGAUUGGCCCACAAUCCUCAGUAGUGGCUCAUGUGAUUUCUCAGAUUGUUAAUGGUCUACAAAUUCCUCUAGUAUCUUAUGCUGCCACUGAUCCAACAUUAUCCACUUUACAACUCCCUUUUUUUCUCAGAACCACUAUAAGCGACUCUUACCAAAUGGCUGCCAUGGCUGACUUGAUUGAUUACUAUGGCUGGAAAGAAGUCAUUGUUAUAUUUUUGGAUGAUGAUUAUGGUAGAAAUGGGAUAUCUUUUCUGGGUGAUGAACUUCAGAAGAAAAUGUGCCGUAUUUCCCAUGCAUUCCCUUUACCUUCUCUGGAUAAUCUUUCUAAGAUCACACAAAUACUCAACAAUUCUAAAUUACUUGGUCCUCGAGUUUAUGUAGUUCAUGUAGGCCCUGAUCCCCAAUUAAGAAUCUUCACUAUUGCCCAUAAACUCGGUAUGCUUUCAAGCAAUUAUGUUUGGUUCGCAACUGAUUGGCUUUCCACAACUCUUGAUUCUUCUUCACCAAUAACCAAUGGUGCUUCACUUGAUAUGCUUAAUGGAGUUGUUGGGUUGCGCCCUCAUACUCCAGAGUCUAAAGGAAAGAGAGAUUUGUGGGAUCGGUUAAGGAAAAUGCAGCCAAAAGGUUUAACUAAUUCUGCGUUGAAUGUUUAUGGACUUUAUGCUUAUGAUUCAGUAUGGGUUGUUGCAAAGGCAGUGGAUAAGUUUCUUAAAGAAAAUGGGAAUAUCAUUACAUUUUCACCCACAGGUAAAGUGUUGGGCUCUAAUGAAAGUGGAAUUCAAUUGGGUAAUGUUAAAGUGUUUGAUAGAGGGAGUGAUUUACUUAAAAUUCUUAUGCAAACUGAUUACAAUGGUUUAAGUGGGAGAAUUCAGUUUGGUGAAGACAGAAGUGUUGUUAAUGGUAGCUAUGAUGUGAUUAAUAUUAACCAAAGGAAAAUGAAUUUGGUGGGUCAUUGGUCUAAUGACUUAAGAUUUCAUCCUAACUUAGAUCAGAAACUUGAGAAAGUGGUUUGGCCUGGUGGGAAGGAGGAGAUACCAAGGGGAUGGGUGAUAGCAGAUAGUGGAAAACCUUUGAGAAUUGCUUUCCCAAGAAGAGCAAGCUUUGUUGAUUUUGUAACUCAAUUGAACAACACCAAUAUUGUUCGAGGAUAUGUUAUUGAUAUUUUCAAAGAAGCUCUCAAGUUUGUUCCAUAUGAAGUUCCUUACAAGUUUGUGCCUUUUGGAGAUGGUAAAGUUAAUCCCAGUUAUGAUGAACUUGUUCAAUCGGUUGCAAAUAAUGUGAGUAGAACAAUGUUGUUCAUUUCAACUUUAUAUAUAUCUAUUUUCACUUUCAGGAAAACUGGAAAAACCACUCUCAAACUCCUAGAAUUGUUACAGUUUCUAUAAUUAAUUAUGUUUGAGGGUCCAAUUGUAACAUUUGUAGAAGUUUGAGGGUAGUUCUUUUGAAAGUUACAAUAUUUCCCAAAGUUUCAUAACCAUUUAAGACCACCCUUAGAGUAAAAGUCUUGAAUAAUGGCAAACAAAAUUUUGGUGCUGACCAAAUGUUGAAUGAUGUUGUAGGUGUUUGAUGCAGCAGUUGGGGACAUUGCAAUCGUUACGAACCGAACCAAAGUUGUUGAUUUUUCUCAACCAUAUACCACAACAGGGCUGAUCAUAGUUGCACCAGUUGAAGAUUCAAAAUCAAGUGCUUGGGUGUUCCUUAAACCAUUUACAGUAGAGAUGUGGUGUGCAACUGCAGGUUCCUUUGUGGUAAUUGGUAUUGUUAUUUGGAUGUUAGAGCAUAGAAUCAACGACCAUUUUCGAGGUCCUCCGAAAAGACAGAUUAUCACAAUGUGUUUGUAAGCUUUUUAUUAUCAUAAUCUUUUUUUCCUUCCUUCCAAUUAUUUUGCAACAUUUUCACUUUGUUUGUCUCUCUGUGUUGCAGGUUUAGCAUUUCAACUCUUUUCAAGGCAAAUCGUAAGUUCUUUUCUUUUCAGAACUUCUUAAAUUCCCAUAAAAACUCUCUUAAUUGGAUGUUGUAAACUGCAAAUUAUGUUAGGAGGUAGCAUUUAUUAUGUUUGCCGUAAAAAUUUUCAAUAUAUAAGCUUUUAAUCUGAAUAUGUUAUACUCAUUUGUGAUUUUAAAAUGGUUAAAAUAACUAUGAAAUAUAUGUUUCAUCCUUCAAAAUCAAUUCAAUGCUUAAUUUUAUACGUCUAAUCACAUUUUUUCACUGUAUUAUAAAAUUGCUUUUGAAGUAAUAGAAUUCUUUUUCGAGUGAUUUUAAUAAUUUUUAAAAUUUCUUCCAAAUAUGUCAUGAAAUAUUAAUGAAGUUUCCUGUACAAAUUUUUGGUUAUAUUAUAAAUAUGAUAUCUUUGAACUCCAACUUAGGUUAUAUUAUUACUCAUCACCAUUCAUAAUGCUUCAAUACUCCUGUUGAAUUACAAAUUAUUAAGAGUUUUUUACACAUUGGAAUAUGGAAUAUUGGUGACCUAGAACAAAAGCUUAGAUCUCAUUAUCAUUCUAGUCUUUUAAGUCAUUGUCACACCAUUUCAAGUCUCAAUAAAAUACUAAAGGAUUUUAAUUUCAAUAGUAGUUUUAAAAUAUAUGUGAAACACUGGAAUUUAUGUUUAAAGUUUUGAAACAAAUAGCAAAAUUAAGUAGUUGAUUGAAACGAACUAUCGAAAUGACUCUAAAACUUGAGGGUAUUUUCGAAUGUUUGGUUAAAGAAAGUGAGGAAUGGUGCAUAGCUUCACUUUUUCUUUCUUCUUUGUUCAAUGGUAGCAACUGAAAUUCCAUUAAAAUUGAAACUGCUAUCUCUUUUGAUUUGACAUGAACAGAAGAAGCAACAAUAAGUCCACUCUCACGACUAGUGAUGUUGGUUUGGCUGUUCUUAUUAUUGGUAAUAACCUCAAGCUACACAGCAAGUUUGACAUCAAUCCUUACACUCCAACAACUUUGGUCUCCAAUACGAGGAAUUGAUGACUUGGUUGCAAGUAAUUUGCCAAUUGGAUAUCAAGUAGGAUCCUUUGCUUACGACUAUCUCACACAAAGCCUUUUCAUUCCAAGUUCAAGACUGCAGAGGCUGAACUCCUCUGAAGACUACGAGAAAGCACUGCGUCUUGGCCCAAAAGGAGGCGGCGUGGCGGCCAUCAUCGAUGAACUUCCAUACUUGGAGUUGUUUCUGUCAAAGACUAAAGAAUUUGGAAUCAUUGGUCAACCUUUUACUAGGAGCGGAUGGGGAUUUGUGAGUAUAUAUAUAUCUAUCUGACUCCUUAAAAAUAUACUUCUUUGAUCCUUGAGUUUUACGUAAGAUUUGCUUUUGAGUUUUGAGAAUAUACCUUUUCGGAAUUUGUGAGUAUAUAUCCAUCUUUCCAAUAGAAAAAAAAAACUUUUUUGGCCCAUCAGUUUUUUGGUGUACGGUUUCCAUUUGUUUGUAGUUCCCAAAAUCUAGUACUUCUACUUUUAUUUUAUCACUUCUACCCUUGUGUUUUUUAAUCAUGAUAUAAUUAAUAUAUAAGGGUAAAGGUACUCUUCAAACCUAAUGAAAAAAUAGGAAUUAUACUCAAAACUCAAUAGUACAAAUCUAAACUUUUGACACCUAGAGUUAAACUUACGGACUAAAAAUGUAUACACCCGAACUUUUAUAUGCAUAAGGGCAUUGUUUACUUAAUACGAAUAUGAACCCUUAAUUAUAAAUGUUAGGCAGUUAUUAAUAUAUGAAUAUGAACUACUGCUCUUAUGAACAAAAUGUAAAGCUUGUCCCAUAUUGCUUUAAAUGUGAUCUCCCCAUCUGAACUACUUUUCCUUAUCAUGAGUACAGGCUUUUCAACGAGGAUCUCGACUUGCAGUCGAUAUGUCAACUGCAAUUCUGAAGCUCUCGGAGAGCGGAAAGCUGCAAGAAAUACACGACUCAUGGUUCUGCAAGCUAGGUUGUCCAGGUAAUCGGGGAGGAAAGUCAGAGCCAGACCAACUUCACUUGAUCAGUUUCUGGGGUUUGUAUUUGCUUUGUGGAAUCAUUUCCGUCGCUGCACUCUUCCUGUUUCUUUUAAGACUAAUCCGCCAGUAUAUCCGUUACAUACGACAUCAUCGACGACGUCAUUCAGAAGAAGUUACACCAUUCCCAGUUCCAUCCAACACUAGCUGUACUCAGAGGAUUCAAAACUUUAUAAACUUUAUUGAUGAGAAAGAAGAAGCUAUCAAAAGCUUCUUUGGAGCAUCACAUGGUGCUCAAAAUGGGAACCAACUUCACAAUCAUUCCCAAAAAGCCAAGGAGAAGGCUGAUUCAGAGAUACAGAUAGGGCCCACGACCAUGGGUAUGAAUCGAGGAUAGACUUUUGCUUGCCAUUUGGUUCAUAAUAAUUUCUUAGGUGGAUUUCUUGGUGAAGCUGAAGCAUGUACAUAUAUGAAAUCCCAUGAUAUCGAAAAUAGCAUAGAAAACAUCUCAACUAGUAUCAAAAUUGGUCAAAGCAUCUAAGAAUUUUGGUUCCAUAUUUAUAACAAUUUUUGGGACCAUUAUAACCUUUCCCUCCCUUUUUUAAGAACUACACAAUGAGAUGGAAUUUAGAAAAUUAUACGUGUUCUCAUAAUAUCUUGAAUGUAGUCUUCAUCUAUUUUCAAGAAGCAAUUGUAAUUUUAGUCGAAAUUUACAAACAUGUUAGAGAAUAGAUAACAAAAUAAAUAAACUCAAGACUGAAAGUAUUAACUAUAUGAUACUGAAUGAUUACCAAACGUCGUAACUUUUCUGUUUGUAUAAAAGAAAAACCAUGCAGUACUAAUUUUUGUUAAGCGUUUUCACAUCUAUUUUUGGUUUAAAAUCAAAUUUGUAAAUAACGGUGCUUUCUUUUACAAAGUUUAGGAAACAAAAAAAGUUAUAAAACUAGAAAUGGUCUGAGCCAAGAGGGAAAUUGAAGUAAGAGAUAGAGAGAAGAAGUAAGUUGGAGGGAGGUAUCAAAAAUGUAAAAAUGUCGUUCUUUUUUUAUCGCUAUACUUUUUAAAAUCUACUAUUAAUUUCAAAAAGAUUUUCAAGCAGCUUUGUCAUUUAAAAACCAAAAAUUGACUAUUGAGUUAUCGAGGAGCCCAAAAUAUCAGAGCAAAAGAAAAAAAAAAAGAUAAGAUAAAAUAGGCUUCAAAUUUAAAGUUCUAAGAUCAAGGCAGAUGAGUGGCAAUUCCUUCAUCACAUUGAAUAAUUGGAUGCAAGCUAAUAACAAAUUUGCAAACUUGUUAGGUCAGAAAAAGCAAGUUUCUUGUUAAGGUUACUAUUCAUCAUGGAAGCUGCAAAAGAAGACAUUGAACAUGAGGAAAAAAUAUAAUAGUAACCAUUAAAUCAAUUCUGACAUAUUCAAUAUGGUCGAAAAGCUUACAAGCUAUUCCAUCAUAUAAAUUAUUACUGCCGAUCCCAUAGACCAUUUAACUGGGUAACCUAUCAACCAAGUGCUCACUUAGGAUUAACAUGAGACAAAGUAUCAAAACGGAAAUUCUAACAUUUAUGGAUUAAAAGUUGCGUUGUAACAUGGAUUUUGAAUUCUUACUCAAGUUUCACCUCUCUCUUUGGAGGAUCGAAGUCCAAAUAUGUAUAUGGCUCUGUUGGUUCCUCCCUGCAAAAUCAAAGAUCACAUGGUCCAUAACAUAUAAUAUAGCAUUUUGUUAAAUUAUUAUCAAUGUCAAGGGAUUUUUCUCCAACUUCCUUCGUUUAUCAGGCUUAAAAACAAAGGGAUGGUAUCUAAAAUUUGCUAAAACAAUAGUCCUAACGAUGGAAAAAGAAAACUAUCAUCUCUGUUUAAUAAAUAUCCAAGUGUCUUAUCAGUUCAUAACCACUAAGCUUAAACUGUUGUUUCUAUUUUCACUUUUAUUUAAAAAUGCUUUCAGAAACUAUUUUACAAAUGUUAUGAGUUCAAAACGAUUUUUAGAUUGUUAAAGCCGACUGAAAGAAUCGAUACGAAAGAGACAGUCUGAAUCAAGUGUAAUCAGCAGCUGAAAGAUUUGUUUCAGGUAAACGACUAUAAGGAACCAUCAUUCUGUCAAUUUCGUCGGUCAUCUCUCUUGAAAAGUAAAGCUAAAGUCCUCGUACUGAUGAAAUGAAUCUAUCUUGAGAUUAAAUAAAAUAGAACUAUGAUAAAUGUUAAAUACAGCCGUACCCAGGUUUAGAACGCAUGCAUUGCCAGAACAGCUUGAAUGGUCCUGGAACAGUCUUAAAUGGGUUCCCUUCAAAACAAGCCUACAAGAAAACAAGAACUAUAAUCAGAAAUCAUUCAUGAAAUUCUACCACUUUCACACAACUUCCAUCACCCAAAAAAAAGUUAUAUUCUUUCUUGAAGAGGAUACAUUUUAUUGGAAUAAGAUUACUUCAGAAUCUUGUUAACAGGAAGAACCUUGUUUUUUUAAAUCCUCUCCUUGGAUGGAUCUAAUCUAGCCUUGUGAAGAAGAGUGGAAUUUUCUGUCAGUUUAUCUCGCUUCCUUCCUUCGAAGAAGAAGCUAGUGAUGCAGUUUCUUCUCCGGGUUUAAGCCUGUUCACUUUUCAGCUUAAGUCUGUAAAAAUGGGUGAAAGGGACAUUUACAAGCCUGGUUUUGCAGAGUUCUGUUUGACAUUGAGUGAAGGAACUGUCGACGUACAAUCAACUCUAGGAAAAAUUUUCAAUGUAUGGUCACCAGACGCCAGAAGAGCCAGAGGCAUCCAUAUUACCAUUGCCAACCUAACAAAUCAGCUUAACCAGUUGAGUCAAUGACUUCAUCACUUCCAUCAAGUAAAAGAGAGAGGACUAGGAGUUUCGAAUAAAAAGCUUACUUCUAUUUUGAUAAAACCAUCUUUGACAAAUUUCUUAGGCUUCAUGUUCUGACCUAAGUGGAUACACGUUUCUUUCUAAUGCUAAUUUCUGCUCAAUCUAAAGCCUAAAGGAAUGAUCAGCAAGAUGAUCUACACUAUCCUUUAGAAGAGAUGGAUAAGUCUAGCCCAGGGUUAUUGAAGGCUUCUUGGUCAAGAAAAUGAAGUUAUAUCACUCUACUAAACAAUUUCUGAUGCUUUCCUCUUAAAAUAAUGCUAAAAGUGGUGAGUCUUCUAAACGUAAAGUAGUCUUUAGAACUCUCAUCUGAUUUUUCAAUCAAUCUUACAAACAGAAUGAUUGUUAGGAUCAGCUCGUAUCCUAAUGGAGCUUUAGGUUGUGGAUCUUUGGGGAUGCAAACUGGGUGUCUCGCCUCUAAAAUAUUUAGUUCUCUCCUUAAGAGGUAAACCUAUGUGCAUUGAAUUUUUAAAGCCUUUAACUGAAAAGGUGAGGAGUUGUCUGGUGAAAGGGAAGAAGCAAAUACUUUCUAGAGUCAUUAAGUAGACUCUAGUCAUGCCAAAACAUUCCAACUGGUUUAACUCCUAAGUCCUUAGCUCCCCACUAUUAUCAACAAACAGUGUUUGCUUAUGGAAAAAACAAAAGUUACAGACGGGCAAAAAAAAUAAAAGAAAAGAGGAAAUACGAGAAUUAACGAACUUUCUACACACAUUUUCCUCUUGAGAUUUUUUUUUCUUCCAGCGUCUCUAAUAAAUAAUUAAAGAAAAACAUAUUUGGAGCCGAUUCAAAACUAAAAUGAAUGAAAUAAUAAUUUGCUUAACAAUGUGAUAGCCUGUUGUAGCCAGAAUGAAAUAAAUGCUAAUGAAAUUCCGGAGACCUUUGAACUUGAACCCUAAUAGCUUUGUGCGUAUUGGUGUUGGAGGAGAAAUCGCAUAGGUGAGGUUCGGGAGUUCUAUUUUCUCCUUUACAUCCAGAACAUAGCUAAUUGCAGGAAAAUCUAAUAGCAAACGUACGCUUAAGGCUUUACUUUGAAGAGAAAAUAUUCACUACUGCUCAAAUGAUAAAAGAACCUCCAACAGAAAAACUAUUUCCAAUCAGCGCACAACCUCUGAUCCGAUCCCCUUGGCCAUUCAAUCCGUUCAGAAUUUCAACAAAUUAACCUCACUGCUACUUAAAAUACUGCAGUUAUCUUUCCAGUGAUUUUUCUGUUAACUUAAAGAAGAUGCUCAUAAGUUCCGUAAUAACUAUCGGCCACAAUUUCUAAGAUAAUAGUCAGCAAAACUUCAUAUUCAUAUAUCUUGCUUCCAACUUCUCGAAUUCACUUCUCCAAAAUCCACAUGAAAAGCACAUCAUAAUUAAAUUACUUCAGGAAACAGAACAUUGAAGGAAAUGUUUAAUGUCGACUCAAAAGAUAAUUGAAAUAAACCGCAUAAUACCUAUCGGUGACAAACUCCAGAAUCAUAUCGAUCUUAAUUUUUCAAGUCCGUCCAUUAGAAACAAAUUGAAAUCAGAAUAAAGAAGAAGAAGAGUAAAUGGUGGAAAAGGAUGCGAAGGAUGGUGAUAAACUGAGAAAUUUUGAAGAAGUUAAAAGUUUACUUGGAUGACAUCCUCAGCUCUGUCAUUGCAUCUGUGAGCCUUAGGUUGGCGAUCAUCUCCUUCCGGCAUUCCCCAUGGGCUUUCUCUCCUUUUCACAGGCCUUGGCUCGCUCAUCUUCUCUCUCGAAUUCGGCUACAGUAUGAGCAGUCUUCACCGGUAAAAGGGAAAUAUGAGUUUUUGCCUUUUGGGCUUAAGAAACCGACGUCGUUUGAUCUUUUCAAUUUGAUUUUAAGUUAAAAUAUAUUGAAAAUAUAACAUUAGAUUCAAAAAUUCACCGUCUAACCCAAUUUUAAAAUUACUGUCAAAAGUCUAUUCUGAUCGUUCAAAAUAUUGAUCUAUCAUAAAAGUGAUCAGAAAUGUAUAGAUAGAUUUUUGAUCUGUUUAUAAUUUUUUAAAAUGUUGUUUUUACUACAAUUGCAAUAUAUUAUAAUUAUCUUUCAAAUUUCAUCCAUUUGAUUAGUUGAUAUUUUAUUUUAAAUAUUGUCUACAACAAUCAUUUUUCUAAUUAAUCUUCGACUACUUAAUUUGAUGCAGUUCACUUAAUAAAUGAACACUUGGCCGUAAUUUGUCCAUCAUACUCGAUUGGUGGCCUCCCUAACAUCUGUAAACUUGUAUACAUCUACUACCAAGUAGUGUUUAUUGAUCCUUUGUUCUAUCUCAUGAGUUGAUCUCCUUAAGACUAUCAUUCUAAAAGUUAGAUACUUGCUUUAAAAUAAUAUUGACUAUAUAAAUUUUUUCUUUUUUUUACCAUCCUCGUUAAUUUUGUUAUAGAUAGAUAGUUACUUUUGUGUGUUUACUUAGGUGUCUAAUUGAUUGAAGCAAGAACAUCUCAACGAUAAUUGACAUUUACUUAUUCCUAAAGAUUUAAAUCUUUAUAUCCUACUUAAUAUACAAAAAGAUUUUAGAUAUAAUGAAGUUUGCGAAAUAAAAUUAGAGAGUUACAAAUAUAACAAUUAGAUUCAAAAUAUUAGCACUUACAACAAUAUUUUCAAAAAAAAAAAUACAAAUAUAGCAAAAUCUAUUGAUGAUAAAAAUAAACCAAUAUAUAGUCGUUGAUAGGCCAUUAUAGUUUAUGAAAAAUUGAUAGACUUUACUUAGCAAUUUAAAAAAAAAAUGUUGUUAUACCUUUGAUUAUAGUUUGGUAGUGACCAAGAUGUUUAUGAAUUCAAUUCACCUAUCUUUGUUGUACUAAAAAAGAAAGAAAAUGAAGAAUUUAAGUGAUAAUAUAAUAUGAUAUAAGUCGAGAUAGGUGAUCGGCUAAAAACUCAUGAGAUUAAGUUUUGCAUGAUAACUACUUAUUCUUAGUUUUCGAAACUUGAUUUAGAUUUUAGAUACUGGCCUAUAUAGGUUUAGUUUUAAAAAACUAAAAUGUAAAUAAUAGUCUUAAUUAGUAUUAUUAGUAUAUAUUGUCUUCUAACAAUCCAAUCUUUGAUUACUAUGUACAAAAUAACUUUUAAACCUUAGGUUAGUUUUUAAUUAUGUUCCUAAACAUUUUUUUUUAAUCUUUAAACUUUAACAUUUGAUGUAAAAUAUAUUGUUGAAAAUAUUAUUUAUAUUUUACAAUAUGGAACCACGUGGAUCACGUGUUAUUUCUAAUAAUGUGAAGUCGUAAAACACAUAAAAUCAAUAAUAAUAGAAUUUGGAUCUGAGGAGGAUUGGUUUGCAAUUAUUGUUAAAUCUACAUUCAAUACUAUAUAAUAAAACCAAAUUUAUUUACUAUAUAAAAACAGCCCAUGAGUGAUUUUUUCCAUCCCUUUAUUUUUUCUUUUAGUUAUUUUUAAAAAUAACAAAAUAAAUUUAAAUAUUUACAACUUAUAACAAAAAAAUAAUUUGUUCUUUCAAUCAUAGUCAGUCAUAUUCUUCUAUCACGGACUAUCAAUGUUACAUUGAAUAUCAUAUAUUUGUUAUUGAUAGAAUCUGAAAUUUUGCUAUAACUUGUAAAUAUUUUGUCAAAAUUGCUAUUUUUUACAAUUUUCUUUAUAAUUAUUAUUGUAUCCAUCAAAACUACUUAAUAUAAGCCAUCCUUACCUGCAAAAUAGUGUAUUAUUUUAUAAAUUAAGUCAGCUUAAGUGCAUCAUCAACUAAUGAUAACCUUCUUAACUCUAUAAAGUUAUGAUUAUUCAUGUUAAAAUGUGAUAAAAAAACUCUAUGAUAUAUUAAUUAUAAUUUUUAAUUUUUUUUCCUAUAUACCAAAACAACUUAAUUUUGAGUGUUAUGGACUAAACUCAAGGUAAAUAUGAUCAUUAACUAAAUUUCUAUUGUUUUAUUUUGAAAACUAUAAAUAAAUCGAACAAAUUUAUGGUUUUCUUCACCAGCAUGACUCAACCAACAUAUAUAAAAUAUGCAUUAUUCAUUAUAUUCGAGAUUGAAUCUUCUACUUUACAUAUUGUCGAAUCAAAGAAGUAAAAUUUUUUUUAAUGUUACAUUAAUAGACGUUUAUGAGUUUUCAAAUAUUUAAUUUUUGAAACGAAAAUUUAAGAUUCUAUCGAUUCAAUAAGAAGGACGUAGAAUUUGUCAAAAAAAAAGAAAAAAAAAUAAGAAGAAGAAGAGAUAGAUAACAAAUAAUAAUGAAACUAAGAUGAGUGUUUACGUGAAUAUGUAUUGUUUAUACGAUUUGACCCGUGAAAAAUGGAAGGUUGAAUCUCCACUUUGCCAACCUUUUGUAUUUUGUAUUGACAUCCCCAUCAAAAUCAAGAUGGAUGUUAUUGAACGAAAGUUAAUCCUACUAACAACCCAUGAUUUCCAAUAUUUUACUAAAGAAUGCUUGGCGAGUAGCCCAAUUAAAACCCCCCAUCGACUCAUUCAACAAUUAAUCAAUUAAUCACUCUUCUCGCAGAUAUUGUGAGAAGAAAGCUUCGUUGAACAAAAAUGGGCGCUUUUCUCAAGCUCAUCGACGUCUUACUGUUCCUCAUCUUCCUUAUACUCGCAAUCCUUUCUCCUCUAAUUGAUUUCCAGCUUAUUUUCCCUCAUACCCUUUUCCCUGAUUUUCUCAUCGAUCUUAAAACCUCCUACACCCGCCAAUAUGGGGACUAUUUAAUGGCCGAAUCCCCUCCCUUCCUUGUUGGCCUCGUUUGGCUCGAGCUUUUCUUUCAAUGGCCGAUAAUGCUUCUCAAUCUCUACGCCUUCUUGGCUUCCAAACCAUGGUACAACACCACUUGCUUGAUCUAUGGCGUUUCUGUUGUCUCUUCUAUGGUAAUUUCUGUUCCACCUCUUACAAAUUUGGUUCCCCCAUUUGAUCUGUUGUUUCAUUGGAUCAAUUUGUUUUUGCCUGAAUAUUGUGUUUCUGUUAAUUGCAUACCAGCCCUGCUCUUGUGUGUUAAGUUAUGUAGCUGGUACAAAGAAUGGCAUUUCUUUGUAGUAUGCAUUUCUUUGUAGUAUGUAGUUUGGUGGAGUUGGAUUCUGGAUAUAGCCACUUGAUAGAAGUUGUGGAGGUACUUAUGUAGUGAUUUGAAACAGCUUUAUGUCAUAGUUUAUAAAUGAUAUUUCGAGUCCCUCAGGUUUUAAGACUGCUUCUAUUUAGUUUAUGUGCUAAAGGACGAUUAUUUUAGACAUCUGAAUUUUGUUUUUAACAGUGUUUUGUAUAGUAUUAAAUUUACCUUCAGCUUUUGGAUCAAUCAAUUAAUGUCAAAACAUGUUAUUCAGUGUUAUGUAGUAGGUCUUGUGUUUAAACUCUUAUAACGUUGUUUCUCCUCAAUUUCUAUUGACUCCACUUGUUGAGUCUUUCACAUAUUUCAAACGAACAAGUGAACUUAAGUUUUUUGGGUGAUAGUAACGAAUAAAUACAUGUUUUAAUCGGAGUAGUACUUUAGACUGGUUUAAGAAUUUAGUGGCACAGAUGAUAAAUUAAUGAACUUAACCGGAGACCACUUUUUAGCCUUACAAUUUGAAGAGGAAAUAAUUUGAUCUUUUCUCUUUUCUUAAGAAAAGAAUAAUCUUUGUUUUCUCAGCCAAUUCCCUUGUUGUCUUUCAGCAUUUUAAUAAAACUUUUCAAUUCAUUUAUCGAUUCUCCAUGAUAGAUGUUGAUGACAGUUAUAUUUGGUGAUUUACGACAGUUUGUAUGAAAUGUUUCUCAUAAGGAUAGUUCUAAAAUAGACCAGAAAUUGAUUUCUUGUCAAUAAACAAAGGUUUUCAACUGUCAGACACUUAGAUUAGUAGUGCAUUUGGGAUAGUGUUUGAACAUCUUUUGAGUAUACUUUAGAUAUUUUUAAAACUUUGAUAUUAGGCUUGAAUACAUGUUGCUAAGGAUUCUUCUGCUUCAUUGGUUAGCUAUACAUGGAGAUCCAGUGGUUUCUGUUGCAUUUCUUUUACAGAAUUAUUACUUGAUACUCUAUUUCUUCUGACAUCACAUUUUUUGGCUGUGUAAUUUCAAGUCUGCUGUAUUGGGUGAAAUGGUUGGGUCGAACCGAGCAUCUACUACUCUCUUGACUAUCUACUACCCCUUCUUGGGUUUGGGAGUUUUGGCCAUGCUACGUGGGCUCGUGCCCUGCUCAAGCAAGGCUGCAAUCACUGGCACACGACCAUCAAAUGGCAGGAAAAAGAGGGCUUGAACAGCCAACCAAAAUCGCCAAAGGAGUGCCUGUAUUACCUUUUCCGCACCCGAUUCAGGUUAGUAUUAACUGAGGAUGUUGGUUUCUUUAGGCACGGGUGCAACUCUGGCUAUGGAAUAUGGAUCGUUCAGCAUUUGUCUCGUUAGCAUUUCACAAGUCUUUCAUUGUAUGAGUAGUAAUGGUUCAAAGGGACCCUUCUGAGUUUUGAAUGAGAAUAAGGCCAAUGAACUUAAGAUUUGAUUUUCUAAUGUUCAGGAUUUUUUUUCUCAAUCUAGACUGAUCUACUGUCCAAAAAUGUAAUCGCGUGUUUCAAAAUUGAAUGUCGAAAUUAGUUAAGAGAGAAACUUAUAAAACACAAUACAAGAGUUUUAGAAUUUUCGAAAACAAACUUUUAUUUCUAAAAUGGUUCUGUCCCCUCUCUAAAUUUGUGGGAAUUUUCAAAAUAAUAUGUAAUGUAUGAUUAACAUUUGUAACGAUAAGAUACCAAAAGGGAAAAAUGUUAAAAGAUGUCAAAGGGCUAAACAAAACUUUUAAAUAGUAGAAACUACAUAGAGAGAUAAACGCUCAACAAUUGUCUACUAAGUCAUCAUCUCUAUAGUGUUUAUUUUUUUAAAAAAAAACUUCUGAAAACAUUCAUAAAUUCCAAAACAUAUUCAAUUUAGGAGGAGGGAUGAUUUUGGACCAAUAUGAGGAUAAAUCCAAAUAAUAAUUACAAAAGAAAGGGAGAUUGAAAUGAAGAUAAAGUCUUGGUAAGGGAGAGGAAUUGGUUUUUUGGGCCCAACCUAAUUCACUUGGCCUUGGUUUUGAAGGUUGAAGUCGAUCCUACUCUCGGGGCCGAGAAACCCAAUUCUCUAUUAAACACGCAUUGGAGUCCAACAAUCCUACCUUGGAUUCACUUAGGGUUAUCAAAUAGUCCGAUUUUGAAAGGGAACAAGAGAAGAUAUAGGUCCAACCCCUUUAUAAAUACAUCGUUAUGAGAGUCUCAAAUUUCAUAUAGCUUUCACAUUCCUCUACUCUCAAACUCAAGUAUUGGGGUGUGUAUGAAAAUUACCAUGUCAUGUUAGUAGGUCGUACAUACAUUCUUCUUCCUUCAACAAACAAAUUUAGUGUAUUGAUAAUUGAAAGCAGAAUGAGUUACUAGAUAAAAAGAAAAGAAGCCUAAAGUACUUAUUUAAGAAGUCAAAUGAAAGUAACGGAGGAAGAGGUCAAAUGAAACGCGGUGGACAAAGUGGAAAAUACAAGCAACAUGGCUGUCUCACAACAAAAACAACCCAACCUUGACCCUAUUUUCUGCAUUUGACCCCGUAAACAAACUAACCCCUUCACACUCCUCUAUACCAAUUCCACCACAUAAACAUCCACAUCUUUACUUCUUUUUCUUUUUUGAAAAAAAAAGGUUUCAAAAUGAAUACUUUCAUUAAAGAUUUGUAUCAAAUUAACACAUAAUCUGCCAAAUACUUAAUCAUAUUCUUCAAAAUUGGGAAAACAAAAAAGUAUAGUCUUAGUUUUGUAUUACUUUGUAUCCAUGCAUGAAAACUAUGAAUAAUAAUGUGACGACAAGUCAGCUUACAUCAUCAUCUGGCCCGCAUCUUGUUCCACGUGUCACAUUUUCGAGGAAUUUUGCCCUUUUUUUUAUGACGAGGUCAAUUUCUAAACAUUCAUUUCAUUUUCUUUCUCUCUUUUUGCUAUUUAUUUUUGUGGUGUCGGCUCCUAAGUUCGAUUGCUUAUUCAACUUCAUACCUUUCUUUUACCUUUAAUUUUUAUAUCUCCAUUUAAUUUAACAAAUUUAAUUAAUCUAACCCCAACCUUUUACUUGGUCGCUUAAUUAAGUAAUUCACUAUAUAAGUACUAUAUCAAACUAUAUAUUUAACAACUUUUCUUUAAUAAUUAAAUUAAUCACUAAGUUUACUAGGGUUGGUUUUUAGCAUCUACCGCCAAUCUACAAAUUUUGUUUAAUGUUUUAGUUAAGUUUAAAUUAGAAAUUUAUCUAUGGAAGCUUUUAAUUUUAUGUCAUUUUUUUAACUUAUAUGAUUUUUUAGAAAAUUUAAAAUUUAAUUGAUGAUUAAUAAAAAUUAUAAAUUUAAGUUUACCAUUUUUUUAAAGUUCUAUGAACCACAUGAAUAUAAAAUAUAAAAUUUAAUUACCAAACUUGUAUUUCAGUCUCUUGACUCGAAAGAAGUUAAGUUUAUAUAUAUAGAGAUAAACCUUGUAAUUUAAUCCUAAAAUUAACGUCUUGUUCAAUGUGUUUUAAUUCACUACAUUAUAACUAAAUGAUAGUUCACAUGAUUAUUUUUCUAAUAUUUACUGUACAUUUAAAUGGGUGUUGUGCAUGUCAUAGUCAAGUAAUAGUAGAGAAAGAAAAGAAAAUAAUUUAAAGAAAUUGUAUUAAUUAAGAAGGAUUCAAAGCUGAACCUAUUGAGAAAAGUUUGGAGUACUAUUCAACAGUAAUUAAAUUCGCCCCAAGCAAACUUUAAUAAUCAAGAGGAAAAAAAACCCUAAAUUGUCAAAAAAUACUAACAAAGAAAGCAUAAGAAAAACAAAAUUGAAACUUCUGAAUUAAAAAUAGGAUGUCAUCUUUUUAUGAAUAUAUUAUCAAAGUGUUUAGUUCAUCAGUUUUACAAGUUCAAUAGUGCCUUCAUUUUUCGUCUUUCUCUCUGUUGCACAUAUAUAUAUUAAAAACACUAACAGAUUUAAUAUUGAUGAAAGAGAUGUUCAAACUCUUCUCAUUUUUAUGCUCUUUAUAUAAUGUACACAAACAAACAAAAAUGGUAUCAACAAACUUAAUUGUAUUUUUAGAUCAAGGUUAAGGUCUCACCUUUUACAUUUAUAAUUACCUACCCUGGAUUCUUUAAUUUUAGACGUUAUAAUUGUGAAUUGUUGAAGAAAAUAUGAUAGGAGGUAUUAAAUGGGCAGUUAGGUAGAGGACAAAAAUAAAUAAAAUAAAAAGAAAGAGAAUUAGAAAGGCUAUAUAUACACACAGACACAUACAUAUACAUAUGUAUAUAGUAAAGAAUUUUGAUGAUGAAAACACAAAUGAAAGUAUUUAAUUAAAGAGAUUUUUAAGAGCGAGAAAUUUAAUGUUGGAAUAAGGUCGCGUGAUUGAAGGGUGUGUUCCAUUUGUCAAAUCACAAAACUCAAAAAAUUGCCUUAUCCUCGUGAAUAGUGUAAAGUCUUCUUAAUUUCAUUCCUUUUUUCUUUAUAUAUAUAAAUAUGUGUGUAUGUGUGUGUAUAUAUAUAAUUUUAACACAAAAAAAUAAUUAUUCAACCUUUUUUUCUUUUUAGAUUUAAAAACCAAACUCAAGUCAACUUGCAUGGUCCUAUAAAGAUAUUUAAUCGGGUAAUACAUAUAGCAUUUAUUGUCAUUUUUAAUUUCCUUCUCCCUUCUUGAUUUGUUUUGUCAAUAAAUAAAAGGUCAAAUUCUUCUAUGACCAUAUAUAUGUAUAUAUAUUAGAGCAAACAUUACAAUCUUAACACUAUAGUUUAAUUUGGGUCUAUAAUAGAAUUUUCAUUGGACAAAAUAAGAGAAUGCCCUUCAUCUUAUUUUGACUUUUUUUUCUAACCCUUUUACAUAAACACAAGUUUUUUUUAGUAUUUGAUUUAAUAAAGUAUAGAUAAUGUCUUUAAGUACUUUUUUUAGAAAUCGAUCACUUUAAUUGUUUGUAUAAAUAGAUUGUGGAGUUUGGUCAGAAAAAUAUUACUGAAAAUAAUAUCAUUUGUACUAUGUUUGAUUGUAAUAUAAUGUGAAAUAAUAGAAUAAUCUUUUGAAGGUAAGGUCUCUGCACCCACCUUUAACAACAAUAGUUCUUUGGUGUCAAAAUUUAAGCUAUUUUUUAAAAGUAAUUAUGUGAUAGCUUAUGCUAUUACUUUGAAUCCUAAGACUUUUCUCUAGUUUUUUUUAUAUGGUUGGACUUGUGUCCCCUCUCAUUAAAAGGAGUGACACCAUUGAUGGUCCUUUUUUUCUUUCUUUCUUUUUUUUUUUUGUCCCAUAUUACAAUCUAACGAGUAAUUAAAACACUUGCUUCAUCUUUUAACAAAGAGAACAAGGAUAUAUACAUAUUUUAUACGAAGAGGGAAGAAGUUGAAGAAAAGAUUAUCAUGUGACAACGCUAAAUUAACUAUUAGUAAUAUAAACAUCUAAUAGUUAGGUGAAGUUUAGGAUGUACCUAUCUUUUGUAUUCUACACUUCUCUGCCACACAAUUAAAAAAAAAGAUAAUUUAAAAAAUAAAUGUAGAAUUGAUUUACCUUCUAAUGAAUAUUUUCUUGCAAUUAUGUGAAAUUUUAUCUAGCUUUCCACCUUGUGCUUGAUCUUGCGAGGGAUUCUUUGAGUUUGUUAUAUAUGAUGAGGGUGCAUGCAAUGAAUCGGUUAGCCUAGUCAAUGGUGGAUUCAUAUUUUUUUUUUUGUUGACGUGAAGUUAUAGUCUAAUAAAAAUAGUUGAAAAGAAAAUAAAAAAGAAUUGAGCUUAAACUUAGGUCAAGAAAAUGUUAUAUAUAAUACACUUUUACCACUAAAAAUUAAUUUAUAGUAUUAUUAUUAAUUUCGUUUAUAUAUAUAAAUAAAGCUUGAGAAAGAGUUGAACCCUCUAGACUUACUAAAUUCAUUGCUGAACUUAGUUCAAAUGUUCGAGUGCAUCCAAAAUCAAUUCAUCUUCAUUAUUCCUUGGUUCACUAUUUUAAAAAUAGAUACGUAGUUCACUUUAAUCGAAUUUAUAAUAUCUUGAUUUUUGUUGUCUGUUAUAUUAUUUUAAUUUGGUCAUGUGUUUACCCUUUUCUUUUAUAUUCUCCAUAACUAUUUGUAUGAGUAGUUAAGGAGGUGAUCAAUCAUUUAGAAAUAUUUAUUAAUAAUAAGGACCUAUUUAGAAAUACUAUCCAUUAUUCCACAUUUAAUGUACUAACCAAAAGAAUGUAUUUAAAUUAAAUAAAGCAGAAUAUAAGUGAUUAAUUAUAACUCCAUCAACAUAUGACGACAAAAUUAAUAGACGUAAGUAUUCUUUUAGACCAUUAAAUAUAAAAAUAAAUACCAACAACGUUGAUGAUUUCAAUGAAUUUCAUUUCAAAAUCAAAUUAGUAACGAGAAUAAUUAAUAUACUUCCAUCCUUUUUAUUUUUUUCAAUAUAAAAUUGUCGAUAAAAUGUCGUUUUGCAAUUAUACUUGUAUAAAAAUCUUCAUUGGAUGUUAGUACUAAAUAUAUAUCUAUACUAUAUACAUAUUUGGAUAUAUAGCCUUAGCCCUCAAAUAUUGCACAAUUGCACAUUGAUGUUGCAUGAAAUUUAAAAUCUCACAUUUUUUUUUAAAUUUAUUAUCUAAAAAAUGUAUUCAUCCUUUGGGACCAAAGAAAAUUUUGCUUUAGAAUGUUAAGAACAUAUUGGGAAAAGUUUAGAUAUUUGAUGAAAACUUACAAAAGUCUUUUAAAUUAUACUUUUAAAAAAUACUUGUAAAGGUGAGAGAUAACGAGCAAUAAGACACAAGUUUAACCUAUGAUACCUAAAAAAUAAUUAUAGUCUAUGAAAAUCUAAACAAACAAAUGUAUAAUCAAAUAGAAACACGUUUAAACGAAUAGAUAAGAAUAAAUUUAAUUUAAUAUCUAAUAUUUAGAUCGACAUAUGGAGAUUUUUUACUCUCAAUUUUAUAGAAAUAUAGUAAAUAUUUUAACCGUUGCGACUAUGUUUAUAUUAAUCAAGAUAUUGUUAACUUUUUGAGCAUAUUUUAUAGAAAUGACGUUAUUAUUCAUUGUAUAUCGUCAAGAUAUAGAAGGCAGUAAUUAUUAUUUUGAUCCUCAAUUUUAGCUUUCUUAAAUUAGAAAAUGACAAACCUAUCUUUUGCAAGAAUUCAUUCAGAAAAUUUUCACCCUAUUUAAAAUUAUCGUUUAUAUUAUAAUAUACAUAAUCCCAUUCAUUCAUUAGAUUAAGAAAUACAAAUACUUCAAAGUUGUAUUCUAAUUAAGAGUCAUUAGUUUUUUCUAUUGCUAAAAUAUAAUGUACUAUAUUAUGAUAUUGAGCCAAAAGCUUGAAGAGAUAUGAUAUAUAAAUCCUCCAAAUUCCCAUUGGCACAUCUGCUUUUGCAUUAAUAAUAUAUAUAAAAUAAAAUUGUUCAACUUCAAGAAUCUUUAACCUUAAACAUCAAAUGUAACAACUCAGGUGAGGGACAUUAAUAUUCUAAUUUUCUCUACUCAUCAUUUCUCUUUCUAUUUAAUAUAGUUUGAUAAUGAUGAUAUUAAAUCCCCAUCAGUUUCAUACCCAAAAACAAAACUUUAUUAAAGAUUGGCAGUGCUUCCUUCAUUUAUUGCAAAAUGAUUUAUAAAGAUUAAUUACCUUUGUAGUCAUUGAAGAAUAAAACCUGCACAACUCUACCAUAUAACAUACCACCUGAAAAAAAAAUAGUUAUUAUUAUGACUCUAACACUGAGAUAUUUUUUUAAAAAAAUUGUACAAUUCAUUAAAAAUUUAAAUGAUGAAACUCAAAUUUAAUAGAAAAAUUAAAAAUAUAUGCAAUCCAAGAAAUAAAGAAAAACAUAUGAAAAACACUUGCUUCCAAAAUUUAUGGUAUCUUAUGCAAUAAAUGGAAUGUCAAUUAAGCUUCCUUAUAUGUGUAUGCGAGUGACUAUUUUUCCUUUAAUUUGUUUUUUCCUAAAGAGGAUUUUUAUGAUAAACAUUGUAAACAAUUAUAUAAUUAGAUUUGUCAUAUUUACUUUUACUUUACAACAAUUUAAAUAUAAGCAAGUCUUUCAUCAUUUAAAAAUAAUAAUAAUAACAAAUUCAUGUACUACUUUUUUCUUAUUAUUAUUCAAUUAAGCCAUGUACUGUUUUUACACGAUCAAUAUUACAGAAGAAAAUUCAUUUAUUUAUAUAUAUUUAUUUAUUUCAAGAGAAAUUUGUUAAUUUAAGGUCGAGUAUCUGUUGGUGAGCUUUUAGAAAGGAUUUAAUAAUAACUUGAUGAUUUAUUAGACACGAUCAAGAAGUCAAAUUAUUUCAAGGUUAGAAAAUGUUUGGUAAGUUGGAUAAUUUGAAAGAGUUGGAUUGGAUGAAUAAAAAAAAAUCAACUCAUACUUUAGGUCAUCAAUAAUUAAAGAGAUAUCGUUAUUUCUGAUUUAGUUAUUCAUGUUAACUCUUCCAUUUACUUCUCUGUAAUUAUAUUUAUACCAAUCCAAUUUAAACUAUUUGUUUCUAUGGCUAACCAAACUCCCCCUAGAGGAUGAGAAGCUUUAGUAUGUAUUAAAUAAGUGAAAUAAAAGAAUAAUGCAGUAUAAAAAUUUUAAAAUACAAUUAUAAGUUGAAAUUAUAAAUUAUAUAAACUUUAAAUUUUAUACCAAUAAGCCCAUAUAUUUUUAACGCAAAAUUGGAACUAAAUUUUUUAUUGAAAUUUAUGUUGCAUAUAAGAGUUUAUUUCUAAAAAUUUUGAAUGUAUGAAGUAUGUAUUCUUGUAAGUUAAGAAACCAAAUAAACAUGCAUAAAAGUUAAAAGUUAACCGCUAAACCUCUAACUUCAUAUAAUAGAAAUUAAGGUAUCAACUUAGUUGAGAUGUCUUAGUGCAACUAUUAAUUCAUAUUGUAAUUUGUUUUUCAAAAUAACUAAACUUAUAAUUUUAGGUAAUUGAGUGUAAUUUUACCUGCACUAAUACACUAAAUCCCAUCAAAACUUCACGGUUAAGUAUGCUUAGAUGAGAGUUGUACUAAAUUGGGUGACCACUUGAAAAUUUAUUGUGUUACACUCUCUUUAAGAUAUAACUUUGGAUAAUUGCUUUUAGUGAUAAAUGAAUCACUAGUAAAAAAUAUUUACAAAUAUAGCAAAACAUCAUUUCCCACUAACAACAAUAGACAUCGAUACACAGUAAAUACUAAUCUAUCGAUAUAUAUCACUUAUAAAUAGUAAAUUUCUUGUUAUAUGCGUAAAUAAAUUGAUUCAUUUAUACAUUCCACUUAAUUAACCUAAAUAUACAAGGUUGAAAAUAGACAUAAAUUUGAAAGUGAGAGCAUAGUAAAUGGUGUAAUUUAGUAAUAAUCAUAAAAGAAAAAAAAAAAGAGUAUGAAGAAGAUGUAUAUAUAUAUAUGGUUGGGAAGGGUUUAGUUGGAAAAGGUAGGAGGUGGUUUGAGGGAGAUUUUUUAUUAUUAUUAUUAUUUAUAAAAAGACAAUAAAUGGGUUAGAAAUUGGAAUGUUAAAAAGCUUUGGAAAGAAUAAAAUAAAAAAAUCGAGAAAAGAAAAAGAAUAGAAAAAAAUAGAGCGUUGUUUGGUAGCCGUCAUUCAUUGCACUAAACUUCUCCUACACCUAGGGCACAAUUAAACACCAACAACAAUUAAACAGUUUUUUCUUUUUUCUUUUUUCAAAAAUGAAAUUAAUAGAUAUAAAUUAUUUUCUCUUGGUGUGUGUGUGUGUGUGUGUAUAGCAAUUACGCCAUUUUCAGCCACCAUUAAAUGCAAUCCCACCUUCUCACUACCCUCUGCAAUUACUCUUUUCCUCUCCACACACACCCACUUUUUCUCCCAAUUCUCUUUUCCUCUCAACUUAAUUUUCAACACUUCACUCCCACAAACAUACAAACACACAAACAAAUUCUUUUUUUUCUCCUUCUUCUUCUUCUUUGUUCUUCACAACUUUAAUUACUUGUGUCUUUGAUCUAGGUUUCUUCUUCUUUUUCCUGGGGGGGAGGGGGGUCUUGUUUCAUGAAUUAACAUUUGUUGGUAAUUUUGUGUAUUAUUGUGCUUUUGUGAAGUAUAUAGUUAGAUUUGAUCUCCUUUUUUGUUUUAGAAUUCUCUUUAAUUAUCUUUUUCAAGCAGAUAGGAGGGAAAAGAAAAGCAGUUUAGAAGAUCCAAAAAGUGAAUUAUCUGUCAAAGAGAAAAAAAAAAGUUCACUUUACUUGUGAGAGAAUCUCCAAAAAGUUGAAAGAAGUAAACCCUUUUUUUUAAUAAUUUUUUUCCCUCCCCAUCAUAAAAUAAAAUGAAGUAUUUUCUCUAGAAAGAAAAAAUAAAAAGAAAGAUUGUAUUUUUUUUAUAUAUAAAAAAAUCAAUUGAGAAGAAAAUGCCAGCCGGAAUGAUGAUUCCAGCGAGAAACACAGCGUCGUCCAUGAUCGGAAGAAAUGGAAAUGUUGGAAUUUUUGGGUCCCCAGCCAGCCUUGUUCUUGGUCAGGUCAGUAUUUAAUUCAACACCCAAUUUCAUAAAUAUAUUAAUUAUUUAUCGAUAAAAUCACUUGUUGAUACAAAAGUUUAAUCGAUAUGGAGCUCUAUACAGGAGCUGCAGGGAAUAGAAAUGGGAGAAAAUGAAUAUGGAAGAAUGAGAGAAACAGAAGAGUUUGAAAGUGGAACAAAAUCAAGUAGUGAGAAUCAUGAGGUUGGUUCCGGUGAUGACCAACUCAAUAACCAACGCCCCAACAAGAAAAAGCGUUACCACCGCCACACUCAGCAUCAGAUCCAACAAAUGGAAGCGUAAGUAUACUGUAUUUGUAAUUUCAUCUCUUUUUACUUACUUACCAUUUUUAACUCAAAACGCACACAUAACUAAUUGGAUUCAAGUAAGUAAUUCAGAAAUACUUAAGGAUGUCCAACUAACAAAGAAAAGUAAAUAAUACAAAAUUUGACAUAUGUCUAUGGAAUCAUAAAUUUUAAUAGACAUAGAGAUCAUGUUUAAUUGUAAUUUAAUGACUAUCCUCUUUUACUUUCUAAUUUACCAUUUUAUAUUAACUCCACUUAAAUUUUAAUGUUGAAGGCUCCUCGAUCUCUUCUUGUUCGAGUAUUCAACGUAUUUGAGAAUGAUUGGAAAUCAUUUUCCAUGAUUAGAAAAAUACUAAAUUAAUUAUAGUAAGUGAGUAUGGUUUGGAGCGAUUUUAAUAAUAUUAAAAACCACUCACAAAUUUGCACUAAUCCUAUAUUUAACAAAACUCUAAACUCUAAUUUUUUUUUUUUUCUGUUUUGUAUAUGGAGAAUUUAUGAAAUUAGUUGGAAAGUUGAAGGAUAUAUAUGUAUGAAAACACAUAUUUUAACAAGUUAUUAUAUAGUGAGCAUUAUUAUUAUUGUCCAAAAAAUGAGAAGAUUUUGGUGGGUGGGCUUAUGUAUUUAUUUAUUUAUUGGGUAAAAUAGGUUUUUCAAGGAAUGCCCUCACCCAGAUGACAAGCAAAGGAAGGAGCUAAGUAGGGAGUUGAAUUUAGAGCCAUUGCAAGUCAAGUUCUGGUUCCAAAACAAGAGAACUCAGAUGAAGGUAUUACACGAUUUCUUUUUCUUUUUCUUUUUUUUUCUAUUAUUAAUGUUGUUAAUUAUUAAUAAAUAAAUAUUAUAAUGUAAUGUGUAAUGUAAUAUGCAGACACAUCAUGAGCGACAUGAAAACACACAGCUCCGAACAGAAAAUGAGAAGCUAAGAGCAGAUAAUAUGAGAUAUAGAGAAGCUCUAAGCAAUGCCACGUGUCCCAAUUGUGGAGGUCCUACCGCCAUUGGAGAGAUGUCCUUUGAUGAACAUCAUCUUAGGCUUGAAAAUGCUCGCUUGAGAGAAGAGGUAAACCAUUCUUCUCUGUGUUUUUUAUUCACGACUGCAUCUAUCUUUACUCAGCACGUUUACAUUCGAAUCUAUUGUGUCAUGUGUAAUAUUUCUUUUUUGUCAAUUAAAAUAUUGUUUUCAAAUACUUUUUAUUCCUUGAUUUUGAAAGAAAUGCAAGAAGAUGGAUGGAUGUUGGUGCAACCCUCAAUUUUAAACAUUUUGUUUUGUUUUUUAAGUAAGUGUUUCAAUAUUUUUAAAUUUUAAAUUUUAAGAAACAAAAUAUAAUUAGUAAUGCAAUUUUUUCUAUUGAAAAUUUUGCUAAGUUUAAUUUUAGAAAACUAAGCAUAAAUGGCUAACCAAUAAAAUCUAAACUAACUUAUUGAAGUGUGAACUAAUUCUUUUAUCAAUAUAUUAAAACUCUCUCACUUGUGUGGUCUUUGGAAUUUACACAAUAUACCUUCCCUGCACACUUCCAAGUGAUAUUAGGGUAAAUUAUGUUGCUUAAAAAGAUGUUAAACUUUUUUUAUUCACUUCUCUUGCCCAAAUGCUAAACUUGAGUUUAGCAAUUGUAAAUUUUCUAUGAUAUUAUUGAAUAAUAACUUAAAUCUUUUCGAUACUGAAUAGACAAACAACUGCAGACUCAACAAAGGAAAGAAAAGAACUCAAAUAUGAAAAAGAAAAAAAAUAUAUAAAAGGCAAAUACUGCAAUGAUUUAAGAGUUUAAUAAUUUAUUAAAUAAUUUGCAUCACGCAGAUCGAUCGAAUUUCAGCCAUAGCAGCAAAAUACGUUGGAAAGCCAGUAUCAAACUACCCUCUUCUUUCCACACCAAUCCCUUCACGUCCUCUAGAACUUGGAAUGGGAAGCUAUGGAGGCCACGAUUUGGGCCUUGGACCGGGAGGCGGGGACAUGUUCGGGGCAGCGGACCUUCUAAGGACCAUAAGUGCACCAUCAGAGGCGGACAAGCCGGUAAUCAUCGAGCUAGCGGUUGCAGCAAUGGAGGAGCUGGUCAGAAUGGCUCAGAUGGGUGAGCCACUGUGGAUGACAGGGGUUGAUGGGUCAACGAAUGAGCUUAAUGAAGAGGAAUAUGUUAGAAGCUUUCCAAGAGGAAUUGGUCCUAAGCCAUCUGGGUUUAGCUGUGAAGCUUCUCGUGCUACUGCUGUUGUCAUUAUGAAUCACAUUAGCCUCGUUGAGAUGCUCAUGGAUGUGGUAAAUUAAUUAACCUCAUUCUUAACCCUUUCUUCUCUCUUGAUUGGCAUAGUUUAACAUUGUAUUAUCAAACAAAAGGUCUUACAUUAUUUCCUUCCUAAUUAAUAAUGAAUUUCACUUGUUUUUUUCGCGUGAAAGUGUGAUAGAACAACGUUGAUACAAUAAUAAAUUUGUUGAUAACCAUAAUAAUCACAGUAAUAUCUGGUGCUUGUUCCCAUUAUUUGUGUUUUUGGGUUUGUCAGAAUCAAUGGUCAACAACAUUCACAGGGAUUGUGUCAAGAGCUAUGACAUUAGAAGUAUUAUCAACCGGCGUUGCUGGAAACUACAACGGAGCAUUACAAGUGGUAAUUAAUUAAUUUAAUUUAUUAAAUAUAUAAUAUAUACUUUAAUUGUCUAUUAGUAUAUAGUUUCUAAUAAUAUAUGUAAUUUAUUUCUAUUGAUGAUCAGAUGACAUCCGAAUUGCAAGUGCCUUCUCCACUAGUUCCAACUCGGGAGAGCUAUUUUGUGAGGUACUGUAAACAACAUGGUGAGGGAACAUGGGCUGUUGUCGACGUUUCCUUAGACACUUUACGCCCAGCUCCUGCUCUUAGAUGUAGAAGAAGGCCAUCCGGCUGCUUAAUCCAAGAAAUGCCCAAUGGUUAUUCUAAGGUAAUUAUUAUUCUUUUAUGAAUAGUUGAGAUAUUUUUACUAUAUAUAGUAGUAGAAAUAUAUUAAAUGUUUUCUAAUAAUUAAUCAUUAGAUGUAAUUUAAGUUUCUGAGAAUUAGGCCCUAAAUUUGGUUUGUGUGUUUUGAAUGAUAUAUAUAUAUAGGUUACAUGGGUUGAGCAUGUUGAGGUGGAUGAUCGUGGUGUCCACAGUUUAUACAACCAGCUAGUUAGCUCUGGCCACGCGUUCGGCGCAAAGCGUUGGAUUGCCACGUUGGAUCGUCAGUGUGAACGACUCGCCAGCGCCAUGGCCACCAGUAUUAUUCCUAAUGGCGAUGCUGGAGGUAUAGUUUCUGAACGAUCAUGCAUGCAUGAUUUUAAUAUAUUGUUUCUCUCUUACCGCACAUCAUCAAGUUAGCCAUAGCUAGCAUGCAUUAAAACUGUGAAUCACACACAUUGUCUAUCUAAUCUAUGAAUUGUCACUUUAAUAUGUUGUGUUUGAUGUGAAAGGCGCUAAGUAGUGUUGUUAAUGAUGAAAAAAUUUAUAUAUAAUAUCAGUGAUAACAAAUCAAGAAGGAAGAAAGAGCAUGUUGAAGCUGGCAGAGAGAAUGGUGAUGAGCUUUUGCGGUGGAGUGAGCGCGUCGACAACACACACUUGGACGACUCUGUCGGGAACCGGAGCUGACGACGUUCGAGUUAUGACGAGAAAGAGCGUUGACGAUCCCGGCAGACCAUCCGGCAUUGUCCUCAGCGCAGCCACUUCCUUUUGGCUGCCUCUUCCUCCCAACAGAGUCUUCCAUUUUCUCAGAGAUGAAAAUUCUCGUAAUGAGGUAUGUAUUUUUACUUCCUAUAAUGGAGAAAUUGACCAGUUUAAUUAAUAAUGUGUCUGUACAUUGUACAAUAUUAUAGGAUCCUGAAAUUUAGUCAUACUCUUAAAACAUCCAAUUCUAAUAAAAUAAAAUGCAAAGUCUAUGGAUAUUAAAUGUUUAUAUUUUUUUUCUUCUUCUUGUGAAUCAAAUGUUAUAAGGUGUGUAAUAUAAUUGUUAUGUGUGCUUAUACUAAUAAUAGAUGGUGAUUAAUUGCUAAUUAUAGAUUGUUCAACACAUGUAUUUAAAUUUAACUAUAAAUAAAACUUCAUAUAUUACAGUGGGAUAUUCUUUCAAAUGGUGGAGUUGUUCAAGAAAUGGCUCACAUUGCCAAUGGCCGUGACACAGGCAAUUGUGUUUCCUUACUACGAGUUAACGUAAGUUUUCCUUAACAAACUUCCUAAAUGAUAAAGUUAUUAAGUAGGAUGAUAGAAUACUUACGGUUUUUUGGAAUUUGUCUAAUUAUUAUUAUUUUUUGUUUGUUUGUAAAAUUUUAGAGUGCAAAUUCAAGCCAAAGUAACAUGUUAAUAUUACAAGAAAGCAGCACAGAUCAAACAGCCUCAUUCGUGAUAUACGCACCGGUGGACAUUGUGUCAAUCAACGUGGUGCUAAACGGGGGAGAUCCCGAUUAUGUGGCUCUUCUGCCAUCUGGAUUUGCUAUUCUUCCCGACGGAAGCACGGCGUCAAGCGGGGGGGCCAAUGGCGUGGGGGAACAUGGGUCCGGUGGGUCGCUUUUAACGGUGGCGUUUCAGAUAUUGGUUGACUCGGUUCCCACAGCAAAAUUAUCUCUUGGGUCAGUUGCGACGGUCAACAAUCUCAUUGCAUGUACGGUUGAGAGAAUUAAAGCCUCUUUGUCAUGCGACAAUCCUUAAACCGUAAGUCAUCAAAAUUCUCUCUUUCACAUUUCAUUGCAAUUUCUUUCACCUUACGCCAUGCUUUCUUUUUCUCUUUUCUUUUUUCUAUUAAAUUUCAAGUUUAGUCCCUCUUCAAUUUUUAAAAAUGUUUAUUUCUCACUAAUAGUCUAUCUUGGUGGAUUUGUAAUUAUUUUUUAGUUAGUUUUUUCAUUUUAAACAAUUUUUUUACAUUUUUAAUAAAAUUAAAAUUAUAAAAAUUAGUUGAUUUAAGUGGAUAAAAUCUUCUAUUUUAUGUUUAAUAUAUGGAUCCUGUGUGUUCCAAUUUUGUUUUAAAAUAUUACCAAAAUUUAGGGAAUAAAUUUGUAAUUUUUAAAUUUUAGAGAUUUAAAUAGAUAAAAAAAAAAAAAAAAACUCAAAAUGUACCGUCUAGAAUUAAUUUUGUAAUUUAACUUUAAUAGAGGAAUCUUUUAAGUUUAAGUAAUAUUUUAUGUAGUAAUUUCUAAUUUGGUUAAUUAUAUAAUAUUCUUACUUUCAAAUCAUUCAUUUCUUACCAAAUACACCAAGCUUCUUUUUUUUUUUUUUUUUUUUGUAAGCCUCCCUUCAUUUAUUUAUUUUUCAAUCAUAAUACUACAUUCAAUAGAAAAGUUUAAAGUAGAAUUGUUAAGGAUGUAAGCUGAAAAUACAGAUUUAAACCCAUUGUUUUAAAUCCAUUAAGAUUUGAAAUUAAUGACAAGUAGGAUGUUCACUGUAGCCAAGUACUUAUUAGAGCAAUUCAACUUUAUCCUCUUAAAUUCUAUCAAACAAUAAUCCAACCAUUUAGUACUUUAUAUAUAUAUGUAUGGUGACAAUAAUUGAAGUUGAGGUUUAAAUGAAUUUGCAGAGAAGGAGAAAGAUAAGUGGAAGAAGUCAAGAACGCACCUCGAAAGAAAUUGAAAGUUGGGUAAGCAUUUAAUUGUGAGGGGUUCGGGUAUUGACUUUCUCCAUUAUUAUCAUUAUUAUUAUUAUCAUUAAUGUAGUUAAAAGCUUAUGAUAAUUUUAGGGUUUCUCUGAGGAGUUUUUCAGUUUCUUCAUGUAGUAUAAAAUUCUGUUUGUGUCUUAUUGUUGUAAUGUUUUCCAAUGUGUGCAUUAUUAGAGAGAGUCUAGGGGGAAGCCCACACCUUACUGCCUCUAUAUAUAAGUCUAAUAUAUAUAACAUUUCCAAGCUGAUUGUGUAUCAUUAUCUCAUAUAAUAUAUAAUGUAUUUUCUCAUUAUUUUUGUCCAUUUUUGUUCUAUUUCUUUCAGUGGAGAAAAUAAACAAGUAACCAUGCCCAUGAGGGAUAAUUUGGAUAUGUCACAUAUGACAUAUGUGAGUCUAAUAAAAAACAUAGGGUAUUGUAUAAGAAUCUUAAAAGUUUAUGAGCGUAUAAACAUUUAGAUCAAUUAUGAUAGUAAUUCUAUAGUUCUUAUACAAUUAUACUUUAGAGUCUAGAGUCUAGAGUCGUUUGGAUUGAUUGAAUUACAAUUUGAAUAAAAAAAGAAUCAACAUACCAUUCUUUGAUUUCCAAUUAUAUCUUAAAUUUUUCAAACAUAUGUAUACAUAUACAUACAUACUUUCAACCAAAUGGACCUAAAUUAUAAGCUUGUAACCUUAUAUCUACUUUCUUUCUUUUUAAAAAGAAAACAAAGUUUUUAUAUCUUGAAUUUGAGCUUUUAAAACCUAGUUCCACCCAUAAUUAAUUUUUUUUUAGUUUUAGCAAACUUUUUACCAAUAUUUUUAAAAAUCAACUCAAUUUUUUUCAAUGGAAAAACAAAAACAAAAUCACUAGCUUUUUACCAUAAAAAUUAUAAUUCCAUCCAAUUAAGCUUAACUAGACUUAAAAAAAAAGGUGUACUUUUACGUCUAAAAGCAAACUCUAAACUUCUAAUUCAAAUCUCACUAAACUCUAAAGCUAUUUCCAAUAAUCUACUACGACCCCCCAAGAAAAAAAAGUAUGCAGUAUUUAAAGAGCAGUAAAUAAUGAUUGCAACUCCAUCGAGUUUGUACAAAAUAACGACAUGUCGUUUAAGUCCAAAGCCCAGGAUGAUUUUAGGGGCCCAAUAAAAUUUAUCGGGUGUUAAAGUGGGCUGAAAAACCAAAAGCCCAUAAGAAGAUCGUCGGCAGAAUAAGCACAGAAAGUCAAAGCUUAUUUUGUAGGAUUCCUAGUCGGUCAUGGAAUCGAAUUUUGUCCCAUGAAAAUUAAUAUGUUGGAGUUUUCUUCUUCUUAUUUAUUUAUUUAUUUCCUUCAUUUUUAUAAAUAAUAAAUAAUGUGGGAGUUAUUUUAAUGAUUUUUUAAAAGAGAAUAAAUAAUGUCGGAGUUUUGUUACAAACAAUAUAAUAUAUCUCAUCUAAAACCCACAAAGGUCAACCCCUUGGCUCUAUCAUUUAUGUCUCUUCCACCUUCUCUCUCAUUCUUUUCUCUAUCUAAAGCUUUUCAUUAUAUUCCAUUUCUUCUGUCUUUACACUUAAUUCUUUUAUACAAUCUUUCAUAAGUGUAAGAUUCGAUAUUCAUCAAUUAAAUCAAUUCUAAAGUAUUUCAUUAGAUGUAUUUGUAGGAGAAAGGAACAUCAAUUAAACUAAAAACAAAGUUACGAUGAGAAAUCAAAUGAAAUUAAUAAUAUUUUCUUUUUUCUCCUGUCUCUCUCUAAUUUUCUGUUGGAACAGUUUGGUUUUAACUUCCUUGGGUGGCCCAUGACACCGAUUCAACGUCAUGGACGACCAUUUUUCUCCAUUUUUCACCACCCCCCAAUUAUCAUUCUAACAAUUAAUAAUGACAGUGGAAUUUUAUAUAUAUGUGUAUUUCAAAUUAUCAAACUUCUCCCUUUCUUAAACCCCUUCUCUCAAAACUCUCAUCUCUCUCUCUCUCUCUCUCUCUCUCUAUUAUUGUUUUCUUUUCAUGGAGAACAACGACCACGCCACCCUUCAAGCUGAUGAUUCCCUGCCGGAAAAUUCCUCCGCCGUCAGAGAUGAAGAGCAAGAAGAGAGUGGUUGGACUGAUUACUUGGAGGAUUAUUUCAAUUCGGAAUUUGUUGAAAGAGAGAGCAGUUUUUUGUGUUCAAGUAUUGGGAGCUGUUCAAAUUGGGAUGAUCGUAAUAAUAUUUCAUAUCCCAGUUAUGAUAUUAAUUAUAAUAUCAAUAUUGGGAAUGUAAAUUAUGACGAUUUCCCAAAGUCAAAUAACCUAACUUUCAAGAAAACAAGAACUCAGAAGAUUUUUGAGGAUGAUGAUUCCUUACAAGAUACUGCUACUUCUCCUAUUCAUAGUCCAAAAGUUAGCACAUUAUGUUGUUUAAUUUUCUUCUUCCCUUUUUAAUUUUUUACUUUCUAUGAUCUUGAAAAUCAAUAUUGAAAAAUCUCUCUGUCUUAGGUUGUUGAUCUGAAAGUGAGAACAUCCCAAGAAAAUCAAGGGUUUGAUGAUCACAUCACAAUCUUCGCUAACUCUACGGUAAUUGCUCUCUUCUUUCUUCUCUUCGUGAAAUUAAGCAUGACGGUUGUAAACCGUUGGAUGAUGUAGAUGAAAAUUUAUGGGUUUUUUUUAAAAAAAAAAUUAAACCCACAUGAUGAUUUUUGUAGGGAAGUGGAAGGCAAAUGGGGAAAUAUUAUUCAAACAAAGAGAAGGGUGUUUAUUCAGCUGAGAAAAAAGGGUUGUGUUUGUUUCCCUUCUCCAUGCUCCUUAAUUACCAUAAUUGAGACUAUGUAUUUUUUAAGCAAUAAUAUGUUGAGCAAUUUAAAUACUCUCUCUCUCUCUCUCUCUCUCUCUCUCUCUCUCUCUCUCUCUCUCUCUCUCUUUAUUUUAAUUGUUAUAUAUAUCAAGUAAAUAUGUGACAAGAAUUUAAUCUCCUCUUCCUUCUUUCUUAGGAAAUUUUUUAGUUAUGUAUAUACUUCCAAAGUUAAAUUCGUUUAGUUGCACACACGUUGUGUAGGAGUGGAAGUUAUAUCUUGGGAGUGGAAGUGCUGAAAAGACUCCAAAUAUACAAGUAGGAAAAGACAAUAUGCAUCUCGAUAUAAACUACAUGCUUUCUCAAACCUUAUUUCUAAUUAACUUUUUGUUGUUCAUUUAUUUGCAUGGUUUUAAUAUUCUAUCCAAUUAGUUUUCACAGAAUAUUUUUCCAACAUAAUAAUCAUUAAAACCUCUAAUGUAAACUCUCAACCUAAAUUAAUUAGUAUUACUAUAAUUCAUUACUAUUUACUCUCUCUCUAUGUGCUUGUUCUCUCUCUUUGUGUUGUUUAAUUUUUAGAUUAUUAUUCCACGAACGAGAAAACUUUCCUCUUGACCAACCACCACUCAAAAAAGUAUUCAUAGCUACAUUUAUAUAUAUAUAUUAGAAAAAGUAGAAGUUAUCCAAUUAGAAAAAGAUGGUGGGUGAGUGAGAGGUAUUCUUGUUCACGAGUUAGAAGAUGGGUCUUUUUCCUUAAUUAAAUCGAUUGCUUUAACUUAAACCCUAAUUAAUUAUCCAUGAUUAUCUUUUAAGUUAUUUGAGUAUAUAUGUGUGUGUGAAAUCAAACUCAUGCAAACAUGGGUUUUUCCUUUGUCAUUUUUCAUGGAUUUUAUAUUAUUUUAUUUUACAAAAGACUUGAAUGUCAAGUGAUCUCAUGAACUUUUGAUUAUUACAUGUGAACUUGGAAGCAAAUUUUCAAAACUUGUCAUGUGUGCCUAAUAAAUACUUUAAAUGUUCAAUCAUUCAAGAAAUCUAAUUUGAUAUUAUCUAAUAAUUGAAAUUAUAAUGAAAAACACAUUCAAUCAAUGUUUUAGAUACAGAACACGUAUAUAAGUUUGUGUCACAUCGCUCAAUCAAAUAAAAUUAAUUGGUGCCAUCUUUGUUUUAACAAAAUGGUCAAUCAAGAAUUGAUUUGUUAUAUCAAUUAAAUCAUUAAAGGAUGAUUGUAUAGUUUUGUAAAUCAAUUUACACAUUUUAUUGAAGAAUAUUUCAUGUGAAAUUUAUAAGUGUAUGAAUUGAAAUGCAUGUAUGAAUCAAUUUAGACUCUAAUCAUAAUUUUCUUUCAAAAUUGUCCAUGUGUCUGAUUAUCCAAUUUUUAAAAUUGGAAUAAAUACCGCACAUGUUUGAGAACUAGUGUAUGGAUGGUAAUCAACGCUAAUCUUCUAAUUAUGAAGAGUCAAAAUUAAUUGACUGAUGAAACUUUCCAUGUUUUAAAAUCGAUUCAAAUUAUAAGUUUAACAUGAUAUUAGUUCAACAAAAUUUAAAGGAGUUAUACAUAGAUCGAUUUCAAUGUUUCAACUGAUACACAAUUAUCAAUUUAGAGUUUUACAUUGAUAGAACCUCAAAGUUUAUGACAUUUGACCAAUAUGAUUUACAUCUUUAAAUGUAUGGCGACAAAGUUGCAUGCGUAGUACCGAGUGUUAUAAAACUUUUGCUUGGAUUGACAUGCCAUUAUUCAAACGUUGUUGGAAAGGUAAAAUGUUUGGUUCCAAAAUAGUAUAUUUGGACCCCAAAAAACAUGUACUAAGAAAAAGAAGAAACAAGAAAAAGAAAGGCACAAAGUUUUGUUUGUUUUCACAUGAAAAUUUUUAACUUUAGAAGUUGUUUGAUGGAUAAAUGGAUGGGUUGGGUGAGAUCAUUGCACAUAUUCUUCUUUUCACUCAAUAUCAAAUUUUCUUGUUUCCUUUCCUUUUUAUUUAUUAUUAUCUACUUUGGUGGAGAGAUGUGUUGUCAAAAGACUAAAUUAUUAAAAAAACAAAUUCUUUUUAUUCUUUGUUUUAAUAUAAUAUAACUUUCAAAAUGGGUAAGAAAAAUUCCCAUGAUACACUUGAACUUUUAAGAGAAAUUAAUAUUCUUAAAUAUCUUUUUUAAAAAAUAAAAAUAUCAUUAUCUAAUACGUUAUUAUCAUUAAUAUAAGCAUUCUAAACAGUUUAAAGUUUGGUUUGGUGUAUUAUUAUUCCAACGUUUGAAAAAGUUAAAAGUAAGAUUUUUUUUUUUUUUUUUUAUGAUUUAACAUUUUCAAUAUUAAAUUAGUGGAUGCAUGGUUUGUUCUGAGUUAAUGCAAUGGGAAAUGGGUCCAUGAAAAGUCUAGACAGAACAGUGGUUUAGAAUAACAAUAAUAUAGACAUAGAUAUAGAGAUAGAUAUAAAGGAUUAAUGUAAUUUUAAAGGGAAAUAGAUAAUAAUAAUAAUAAAAAAAAAGGAUGUGUUGGGUUUAAAUUUGAAAUAUAUAAAAGGAAAUCAAAGGGGGAGUUGUUUAAAUAAAGAAAAGAAAAGAAAAGAAAGAGAGAAGGGUGGAGACCCCUCCAUGUGCAAAACACAGAGUAGGCUGAGGAAGGUAGUUCAGUUUAAUGGAAAUUUGUACAUCAAUUAAUUAACUUUUUCUGCUACACUCACUAUAUCUAUGUUACCUCUUCUCCACAUUUUUAGAUGUGUAUUUAAUCUUUAUCCAAAAAGGAAAUUCUUUAGGUAAAAAGAAAAAUAUAUGUAUUUAGUCUUUUUAAUUCUUAGUUAUUAUCUGUUGGAUCAAACAGUGAGGUAUGUAAUAAAAUCUCUGUCCUAACACCCUCUUAUUCGUAGUACAUUAAUGUCUAUCUAUGUUUUCAAAUUUUGUCAAUAAUUUACUUUUACACAUGCACUUGUGUUCAUUAAGGGUUAUAUAUAUAUCUAUCUAUAUAUGUUCUAUUUACCUAUUCUAUUUACCUAUUCUACUUCCUUUUCUAUUAAAUUACUUUCACCUACAACUUGGCAUCCUCCAUAUUACUUUAUCUUGUAAGCUUUCUAGGAAAAUUUGUUUGAAUUGAAAAUUGAAAAUUGAAUAAUAAUGAAAAAAAAAAAUGUUGUAUAACUUUAAAAUUAUAUUUUGGUACUUUCUUAGUCAACCGAACCUAACUCAAUUGACGUACGAAUGUGUUGUACUAAAAGAAAAAUAAGUUUGAUUUUAGUCAAAUAUUAUACCUUUUGAAAUUAUCAAGAAAAUGCAUGCAUUUGAAUAAACUUAAAAGGUUUCUUGUAUGCUUGGCAAAAAGAAAAACACUUAUUUACUUUUGCAAAAAUGAUUAAGAAAAAAAAAAAAAACUCAACCCACGUGAUACAUCUUAUUAUAUAGACUUGAUACAUCUGAUAUACUUGAAAUACUUUUAUGCAUCAUUGAUAUAUACUUGAUGUACUUGAUACCUCCUUCCAAUAAGACAUUUGAUACACACUUGAUAAACAUUUGAUAUAUAUAUUUAAUAUAUCAAAUAUUUGUAUUUAUGUUAAAAAAAAAAAUUGAAUUUUUAUUGAAAGAUUGUGAGAAAAGAAAAAAAAUAUAUUUAUGGUAAAAGUAAAAUCCUCGAACACAUUAUUAUAACUCAAACUAAAAUAAUUUAUAUUUCAAACACAAACUAUUAAAAUCCAAUUAUAAUAAUCAAGGACUAUAAUAACUCACUCUUUAGUCUUUAUCUCAAACGCUCUAUUAAAAAAGUGUUUUACUUUUUUUUUUUUGUCCUAAAGUUGAUAAAAAUCAAUUUAUUCAUGAAAAUAUCACAUUAGUUUAUAUCUGAAAUGUCGUUACAUAUAUUUAUUUAAUUGUCAUUAAAUUAAAAGUUUUAUUUUUUAAUUUUUUUGUCAUUUUUAAUAUUUAUGUAUAUAAACAUGUGAAUUAGAUGUAUCAAGUAUACCUUAGGUAUACUAAGUAUAUGAUAUGUAUAAAUGGGAUUGGACUUAUUUGAUUGUUUUUUAUCAUAUUUACACAUACCCAAGAAGAAAUGAAUAAAAAUGAAUGAGAAUGAAUUAUUGUUUUGAAAAUUAGAUCACAUCAACUAAUUUCAUAAAAAUAAAGAAUGAAUUGGUUGGAAUAUAGAACAAAAAUAAAGUAACAAAAGGGUAGCUAUAUGGUCAGGGUUGGUUGGUUAGUUAAGCAGUAGCAUAUACAUAAAUCAAUUCAAUUAGAGAGAUGAUUAAUUAAUUAACUUAGUGCCCAGUUUAGGUAUUGCCUUAAGAUUUAAUUAAGUACCUAAGCUUAAGUUAAGUGACCCAUUACAUAAUAUUAACCACCAAAUUAUCAAUCAUGAUGGGGUUUUUAUUUUUAUAAUCGGAUGAACUUAAAACACAAGAAUUCGUCUUUAUUAACAACUACAAGUCAAAUAAUUAAAUUAUUAUUUCAUCUUUGGCCUUUUUAUUUCAUUUUUUAAUUUUAGCCUUAUAUGUUUUUUUCUUUGGUCCAAUUAUAAAAAUCAAAACUAGAUUUUUCUAAUUUUCCAUUUUCAAAAUCUCCAUUUGGAUUCUUCCAAACAUUUCAAAAAAAGUAAAUAAUGCUAAGCGUAACAAAUUAUGAGAUUAGCGGUCUAAAACAAACUUUAAAUGUCUGAAAUAUAAUUAAAAAAAAUAUCAACAAGCAUCCUAAACGAAAGGAGUUUAAUGUAAUGAAAUUUGGACGGAUAAGUUGAACCAGUAAAUCUUGAGUAUCAAAUGACUGAGUUAUAUUAACCUCAUCAUUUGACCAUUUAGAAAAAGAGAGCAAGUAUCUUUAAAUGAGAGAUCAGUCUUAUAUAUAUAUAUAUAUAUAUUUUUUGUACUUAGUUAAAUUAGUCGCUAUUAUUGUGUUAUUUCACAUUUGGUGAAAGUCCAAACUAAAGCACACUUGGGCAUUGGGUUAUUUUAAAAUAACCAAACUUGCAACCGUGGGAAAAAAGCAUGCAAAUGAAAAGAAUUAAAAGGUUAUGACAAUUGAUAAAUAUAUUGAAAUUUACCCAUCCAACCAGAAAUUCUUGUACAGUCGUUCUGGAUUGAUUUGUGGUCCGAUCAAUCUAAAAUUUUGAUAUUCUUGGAGCUACUUACAAUGAGUUACUGUGGGUAAUUAGUUGCCAACGUCGAGUGAGAUAUUUCUAAUUAUUAUUUCUUAAUCAUUGUUGUCGAUUUUUUGUCAAUAUUGUUAAUCUUAAGAUAUAUUUAUAUAUGCCUCUAGACUCUAGUGGCAAUGACUAGGAAGAACUUGUUGCACCCAUUAUUUUGAUUUUAGUGGAGAUUUUGUCUUUGGUUCAUAGUCUUUUAAUUUACUACUUAUUUUGAGGGGGUUUUCCACAUUAUAGUUCUUUGUUUUCAUACUCGGUUUAUUGUUUUCAGUUUGUCAGUAUGAUAUUAGAUUCACACAACAAUGAGAUUAUCGAUCCAAAGAUAUAAUGUUUAUACCAAUAACUCUAACUUGUGUUGAAACUCAAUAGACACAACAAUAUAUUACAUCGAUGCAAGGAAUUCUUAUACAUAUCAACUCAAAAGGUAACAAAAUCAAACUAGACCCUGACAAAAACGAGCAUAUAUUUUUUAGAAAUGUUGAAUUUGUCUAAUCCUCCCCAACCAAUUAACAAAACUUAGUAUACUGAACCAAUUAACUUCAAUUAUUUCAAACUUGAUUGAGAGGAAGAGAAUCAUAAACUACAAAAACUGAGAUUCCAAUUCUUGGGAUGUGACCACCAACUUUAAGUUGGUGAUUAAAUUAUCUACUUUUGCUAGUCUUUUUAGCUAUGUUUAAUAACUCAUUAAUCAUUUGAUUUUAGAUUUAAUAAUCAUAUAUAUUAUGAAUUUUGUCAAAUUGAACUUUAACUCACAAGAACUCAACAGUAAUUAGUAUAAUCGAAUCUUUGCCGUAGAAAAUUCAAUUUCACACUUCCACAAUUGUAGUAUAAAAAAGAAUACAAAUUUUUUAUCUUGUAUACUAAUGGAAGCUUUUAAAAUUCAAGAAUCUUUUUAACAAAGGGUUUUAGAUUUUUCUCAAACAUAUAACUCCCAAAGUUGAAAUUCUUUAGGUUUGUUUAAAGCCCAAACUGAUAAGAUGAUCAAGACACCAUUUAUGCUAAAUAUAUGAAUGUAUGCAUAUGUAUAUAUUAUAUUUAUGGGUGCAAUCUUGGUCUGACCUUGAAUCUACCCUCAUUUAGUUACAAUUAAAUUCUUAUAUAUAAAGAGAUUCGUCGGCAGCCGUUGAACAACAUAUAUUCUAAUUCUUGUAUUAAAAAGAAAACAUAAAACUUUUUCAAUUUUGGAAUUUAAUUUCGAAGCAUAAAAUCUGACAACCUGGUUCAUAUCUUUCAAUAUAGUGCAUACAUACAUUGUAUGUUUCAACAAAUUCAAACUCUAUACUAAAUUAAAUUAAUGUAUAUAAAACAACCCUUUUUUCAUUUUAUGUAUUAUUUAUUAAUGUAUAUAUAUAUAUAUGACAUAAACUCAUAAUUUUUUCUUUUUCUUUUGAUUUCUUUUUCUCAAGAAAAUAUAAAGUUUAAGGAAAAGGUGAGAGUAAAUUUAGGAAGGAAUUCCACUUAAAUUAAUCAUAUUAUUAGUCCCUGUCUUGGAAAUGAGAGACAUUAGAAGAGAAAUAUAUUUCCCAAUGGAUAAAGCUAAGUUGUACAUCCAUAUACUAAAAUAAAAAAUCAACUUUGGUAUAUAAUUAUUUAAAAUCAUACAAACAUGUUUUUUUUUUCUUCAUUUCUAUCAGUUAAUGAAAAUUUCCAAAUUAGGAAACAAAGUGGCCACAUUGAUAAAAUGAACGUACAACGUACUCUCCCCUUAAAAGAUUUGGUUUCAUACACCAAUGAACCUUGCUAUCAUUCACAUCCUACAAUUAUUCAGAACAUCUAACAAUAAACUAUAUGUUCAGUUCUGUAGUUUGUGUAUUUCAUACUUGAUCAUCAUGUCCCCACAAUAUUGAAAUGUUUGAUCAAUUUAUUUGAGUUCCAAUUGUUAUUUUGUUCACACUACGUAAUAAAUAAUUAACUACAUUUUAAAAUAUGAAAGUUCAUGAUUUGUUCCUUACCCUUGUGUUAUUUUAAUGAACUCGGUAAGAAAUUGGGAGCUCGGAUAGGCUUUACAUUCCUCAACGAAUCUGGAAAUUUGAAAGUGCGUUGACAAAAUCCAGUUAACAAAGAGACUAUCAUUAUUGUAAGUUGUUAAAAAUAGUGUUCAUAUUGGGAAUUGUUCGUCAAAUCUCAAAAAAAUAAAUCAAAACAGUGAUUUUCUUUUCCCAACAAGAACUAAAGUGUUGCAAAUUUCAUAGUACAAAAGCUAAUGUACUUGGCCACAGAUUUGAGUGUGUAGAUGCUAAUUCAUUGCUAGAGACCGAAAGUGUGUUUAAGUUUUAAACCAUUAAGAACUACUCUCAUGAUCAAAACUCAGUACAUAACAAAAACAAAAGAGAACCCCAUAAAUAGAAUAGUUUUUCUAAACUGAAAUUAAAAAACCAAGUGAUUUACCAUCAAGAUCCCAAAUCAUUUGCUUGGCCAUUUGGCUAAAUACCACAGCUCUAUUUUCUGAACCCUUCCAUGAAUUUCAAAAAUAUCAAAUAAAUGAAGUGUGUAACUUACCCUAUACAUACAAUGGCAUUCAAGAGCUCAGUACUUAGAGAAAACUUGCAACUGAGAAGCGUAUGUAACGAUAAUCUCACAUCAAAUUGACAAUAUGAUUCAAUCAGGAGUUGGGGAAGAGUAACAAAUGCAGUUGUCUCAUAAAUGAAUAAAAAUGCUGAGAAUACAAUUUGAUCACGAGAAACCAGGACUCGUGGAGGAACAAUGCUGCAAAUAAUUUAUAUCUCGACCCCGUUAUAAACAAAAUAACAAAAAUCAGGAAAAUGAGAGGUCAAGAUCUAAAGUUGCCAUUGAGAUAAGAUAAGAAAGCAGGAAACAUAUUAUUAACUAAAAGGGUCCACGUCCACCAAUCCAUAACUUGGUCUGCAUAACAAAGCAAAGCAAACGUACAUUGAUCCAGAGUUGUAGCAUGCACUCGUAAGUUCUAAAAAUAGUUAUAUUAUAUCCACUACUAUCAGUUAUAAGCUGCUGUAAACACAAACUUGAUGGUUUUUAGAAACCGUGAAUCUUGAUGUUUUCCUUCUUCACAAUACCAGCCUAUCAAUGCAGAAAAAGAGGAGCAUAUAUCAAAAACGAUUACCGAACAAAUAUUUAAUAUCUAUUUAUAGUCAACCAUUACCUGCACAAGGAAUGUAGACACAUUCUUUCUUUGGUCUCCCUGAAGUUGUAUAACCUGCAGGGCAACAACCGUUACACACGAUGUAAUUGAUUGGCAUGGCAUAUUGUCUGAUAUUCCAGAAUAGGAAACAAAGAAAGAAAAGCAUGUUCAUCCAAGCAGUCCUAAUAUCUUGUUAUAUGCAACAGUACCAAUAACACCAUAUAGAUUCUUGUUCAUGAUAUGUAACCAAACCACAACCCAUAAUGAAAACACUCCCUGCCGAUAGCUUUAUGCCGAAUGAAACCAAUUGACUGCCAACUGACUGGCAGAUCAAACUUCCCAUGAGUUGGUUCUUUAAACUCUUUUUUGCCUAGAUAGAGCAGCAUUGACAUUAUAUUAAUCUUGCACCCUCAAUUGUUCUAACAAUAAUCCCUACACCAACCUUCUCUCCACUUUAUAUAAAAUUGGAAACUAAUUCUUUUAGUUCUAAUGUUCGGUGAAUCAACGAAAAAGGGAGGAGCUAAAUAUAAAUAAUUAAGGGUAGAAGAGGACAACAGACCUGGCCUAGCUCAGGGUCUUGAACAACUGUGCCAUUACAGCAAAAUUCCUUCUUCAGGUCCUUAAGAAUCUUGUUAUAACUAAAUUCCUUCUUCAAUCCUUGAACAGUUGUCAGACUUUUUCUCCCGUUGCGUUGCUGUAUGCGCACAUGAACAUACUCUUUUGCUCCGGCUCCUGAGUCCUCAGCAUUUGCAUCAGCAAAUGGGUCUAACCAUCAAACCAAAUUCAUCAAAGUUAGUUAAAACGAACAUUCAGGCUUCUUAUACAGUACACAACACACUAAAAGUAAAAACAAAGAAGAGGGACUUGUGAAGGUACCAAAAGCAGAUGGAAUCUGCACGUUGAAUUCAGACAUGAAACUUGGCUGUCCGGAGUAGAACACAGGUAACCAGCAAAAGCUUUGAGCUCUUAAAUUCAGCUGCUCUAAACUGCAAAACAUAACAGGCCCACAGAGUUGAGUGUUGAAAGCACAUGGAUACAAAAAAACGCCUAAACUCGUCCAAAAUCAAUAAAAAGAACAUAAUCCACCCACGCCCUACUUUAAAUCUUUGAUCCACUGGAUCCCCACAUCCCACCAUAGACUCCCUUUCAAACAAAGAUCAAAAGAGCACAGCCUCAACAAUUAAAAAAAAAAAAAAAAAACCAAAGUUGAGUCUCUUUUACUAUUAUCUCCAAAUCGAAGAAAACUAAACGAUCUACAAAGGGAUCGAACAAUUAGAGUGAAAAAAAAACCCCAUAUAUCUGCUCCUCUCCAAAAAAACCAGACAACCAAUCAUGUGUUCAACCUAAAUCAUAUGUCUAAACCGUUUGUUUCUUAAAAUCACAAGGCGCAUAAAGGACAGAAACCACGCAAUCGAACAGAAUAACAAUCAAACAAGGUAUCAAGUCAUCAAUCCGAAAACAUGAAAACACUUACACCCCCGGAAAGCAAACGGAUCUUGUGGUUCGAUCCCAGAAACAGAAAAGAGGAAUGAAUACAAGCAACAACAAAAAAAGAAAAAAAGAAAAAAAGAAAAGAAACCCUAACCCAAAAAAUGAAAAGUAUGAAGAAAGAAAUAGGUUGAAAAAGAAAAGAAAAGAAAAAGGAAAUAAAUUAUGGAUGAAUGAAAAUGAAAAAUAGAAGGAUGAACAAGAAUUUUUACCAGGAGAAAAAGGUGUGAAUCCGAAGAAGAAGAGACGUAAAAGCAAAGGAUGGAAGUCAAAAGGAAGGUUAUAUGUGUGAGAGAAAUUUUGCAAGCCACACAAACCUCUAUUAUAUCGAUAUUAGUCGGUUUUGGAUUUUCUUUUCACGGUCCAGAUGACACAACAAUCAACUUCAUCCGACGGCUCAUCAUCUUUGUCCUAAAACGACGUCAUUUUCUUCCUUUUUCUAAAUUUAAUAUAUUAUCCUCCAUUAUUAGCGUGGAAUAGACGUAGUGCUACAUUCUGCUCGAUCAAAUCCGAACCCAGCAAAAGAAACACACAGAUCUACCAACCAAUCAGCUGGGUUGGUUCGGUUUGGUUUUUACAUAGUUGAUCGAACCAAAUUUUAAAAUAUUAUCUUCCAAUAUUUUACUUUAACUCACAUCUCUAUCUAUCUAAACAGAUUUUCCUAAAAUUUAUCUUUUAUCUUCGUCUCUUUCUUAUUAUAUUAAAAAGCAGAUUUGUAGCUUUUCCCUAUUGCCCUUCACACCAAUAAUGAAUCACGUUCCUAUAUUUUUCUUUUAAAAACUCUUCUUGGAUUCAACUUCCUUCCUUGUGAUCAUAGUAAAACUUUUUCCAAAUCAAUCCAUGAAUAAAAAAUAUACAAAAUAAAAAGAUUGUCUUUCUCAAGUAAUUCUUUGAAAUUUGUCCCAUUUUGAUGCUUCACAUGGAAUUGGAUGUCAAUUUUCUUUCUUCCACUUUGAUUUGAUGCCAGUGGAAUACAAUUCAUUUUCACAAGGAACUGCUUUUGAAGAUGCAACCGCUCUCCAACCAUUUAAGUUUGAGAUUUUUUUUAGAAAAGCAUAGUAUUUGUUUGGCACGUUAGAUUUGGUUUGUUUAAAAUAUGUGUACAUUUGGCUUCUUUCACUUAUAUAUUUUUCUUAAAUAUACAUCUGAUUUUUGGAGCAAAAUAAACUUUUGGUUCAUUAUAUAUAUUUAAGGUUGUUGUUUAUUUUCUUAAUAAUUUGGUUUCUAAAAUUUUAAAAAUACAUUUUAAUAUCUAAGUUUGAAAAAGUGAUAUUAAUUUUUUAUAUGUUUUUUCGCACCGUCAAAUAUCUACUCUUUUAUGGAACCAAUCAAUUCUGACACUCAAUUUCAACCCCAAAAUGAUUUGGGAAGAACGCAUUCAAGUUAGCAAAAAGAAAAAAAAAAUGAUAGGAGAGGAAUGAAGAGAGAAGGAGAGGUUGUGAAGUUUGAAAGGAAAACAGAGGAAUUUCAACACAAUUUUGUUGUAUGAAAAUUCUUUUCUUUAACUAAAGGCAGUACGUGUAAUUCUAUAACCACGGAUCAUUUUGAGAACUGUUUUCUAAAUUUCGUUGAUUAAAUUUUACUACCACAUAAAGUGUAUUUUAUUCAUUUGAUUUCUUUCACCUAUAUGUAUUUAAUAGUAAAAUGGCACAAAAUUUGAAGAUGGUUCAUUUUUAGAUAUACUUCUAUUUUAUCCUUUAAAUAAAACUUGCAUUCAAGGCCAAAUCACAAAGUGGACAAUCAAAAUACACUUUUUUUAAAAACUAAAAUCACUCUUUUUUGUAGCUACCUUCUACGUACGAAACAUAUAAAUAUACACAAAAUUUUAUAUUAUGACAUAUUUGACGAUGAAAAAAGGUAUAUCUUAUUUUUCUAUAUUUUAAUUUGGAUACAUGUUUCAAAAUAUAUCAAACUUUUUAUGGAAGACAUUUUUUAGAAUUAAAAAUGUUUCAUAAGGUAUGUCAUCUAUAUUUUUUAUUUUCGUGUAUAUACAUUUGUUUGCAUUAUGUUCUUUUUCUAUAAUUAUUAAAUUCUAUUUUUUUGUUAACAGAAGCAAAAAAAUUUAGUUAAACAAAUAUUUUUUAAAGAUUUUAAGAAGAAAAAAAAACAUGAUGAUUAUUUGGGAGGCUUUUAAGUCUUUUUAAAUUAUUGAUUAGGCUAUUUUAAUAACAUCAAAGUAUUAUUCACUUAAUAUAAUCAUCUUAUUAAAUAUUUGUUAAUAAAGAAAUCACAAUCUAAGGUUUAUAUAUAUGCUUAUGAUUGACUGUAAACUUUUGGAGGGAUUUCAAAGGUAAAUAAAUUUUUUGGAAAAGAAAUUUAGAUAAUAAUUUUUAUCUUAGGUUGCAGAUAAACCAUAAAACAUAUGAAAAUUGCAUCAAUUUAUGCAUAAAAAAAUCGUAUAUGAAUUAGUUCCGAUUCCUAAGGUGGUUAAUUCAUUCUAUUGGUGUGAAAAAUCAUAUCAUCUAAUAUCAAAUAUUGAAUAAUGGAAUAAUACACUUCAAUGUCAUGAGAAAUCAUAAUUAUGAUAAGACGAAUGUUCUUAUACCUUUACUACCUUAUUGUUUUAUUUUUCUAAAUAAGAUUUUAGAGGAGAAUUAAACACGUGUCAUGUUUUUAUUUGAGAAUUAGUAUACAAUAAUGAUUAAAUUUAUUCUCAUAAAUCUAAUUGAGAUGAUCUAAUUUGUUGUGAAAAGAAGGAAGAAUUAGACCUUUUAACCUAGUACUGUAAACAAGAAUUCGGGUUGUACUAUAACAAUCUAUAAAGUAUUUUAAAAUAACUUUAACUUAAUUUCACUUUGAAAUCCUGUUGAUUCAUGAGGUUAGUCAAUAGACAAGAAAGUAUCAAAUAAUCGCAUCAUUUUAAAAAUCUAGAAACCAAAUACAUUUUAAAAUUUAUAGAUCAAAUAUACGAAUCCUUUCCGAUUAACUACAUAAAUUUUGUAUUAAAAUAAUAUAUUAUGAGAAGGUAGGGAUGCAUUUGGACAUUAGAAUAGAGAUCAUAUUGAUGAAAAAAUGUGGUUAGGGUACAAUAUAUAUAAAGAAAAAAGAAAGAUAAUUAGAGGUAGAUUUAGAUUGUAUUAUUAAUUAGGAAUUGAAUACAAUAUAUAUAUAGAAAAACAAUUUAUGUGAAGAACAUAAAUCCCGGAACACCACACACCACACCCAUUUCCAAUCUUCAACCUAACCACCGAAAAUGCAGCAAUUAUGAACAAAUUUACCCAUCCUUUAAUUUUUCACUUUCUUCUCUUCCUACUAUUAUCACUAAAAAUAUUAAUUAUGUCAAUAUUAUUAUUCCAUCAUAAUUAAUUUUAAAUCGUAUGUGGCGGAUGUGAUGAAGUUGGUGGUGCAAAAUUUGACUGGCUCUUUGUUCUUCGUGGAGGUUGAAGACGAUGCCACUGUUUCUGAUCUUAGAACUCAAAUCAAUGCUCAUCCUCACCAACACAACCUCCCUUCUCACCGUUUGAUCUUCAUUCCCGACCACAAUCCCGAACGUCUCAUCUCCCAGGUCGAUGAUGGAAUCUCACUCGUUGAUUUUGGCUUACGUGAUGGCUCCCACAUUUACAUCUUUUUCUCUCCCCUUCAUGACGACGAUGGUGAUGACAUUGAAGCUCGCCGAUUCUUCUUUACUUCUUCUUCCGAUCUUCUUCUCUUCUAAACUUCUAUUAUCAUCAUCAUUCUAGUAACCCCCACCCCCGCCUUUCUCCUCUUUGUAUGAUCUAUGAAAAUUAGGGUUUUUUCUUUUCCUUUUUCAGAUAUUGUAUUUAUAAUUUUCAACUCAUUUUUGUACUACAUCAUACACAAUUAAUUCUUUAUUCAUCGGUUGAAUUAUUGUGGGGGUGAAGGUAUGAGAAGUUACGUUUUGUUUUAAUGUUAUUUAACACACCAAUAUGUCAAUUUGGUUACUCUAUAGGAAUUUUUGUCCAAUAUUUCACAUGGUUUUGUUUUGUUUUUUCGUUUUUGAAUAAAAACAACCCAAAUAAAUUUUAAAAAGAAAAUCAACAAACAUAAUGCUAAUCCACUGAUCAUCUAACGAUCGAAAAUGGUGAAAAUUAUUUGAGCAUUCAUGAUUCAAAUCUCCCUAAUAAAAAAACAUUGAUUAUUUUAUACAAAAUUUCCAUACAAUUAUAAAUAAAAUCAUUAAUUUAUGAAAUGAAUUGAGGGAAUAAAAUUGUAAAUCACUCUUUCUAUCUAUAAUAUCUUUUAAACCACUUUCCAUUUAUGAAUUUAAACUAGUUGUCUUUUUAGUCUCAUAAAUAUAAUAAAACAAGAAAACAAAACUAGUAAAUAUAGGAAUUAAAAAAAAAAAGUGUUAUAUUAUUUUAGUUAGCUAUCUCAUUCUCAUCAUAUAUUUAUUUAUACAAAUGUCUUUAUCAAUAAAAUUCACCACGGCUAACGGUGCCUUUAAAAACAUAAAGAAAAUCGCCAUUUUCAACCCCAUGCCAUCUUAAACUACGCUUAUCUCUCAUAAUCCUUUGUUUAUGAAUAAACAAAUACUCAUCGUCCGGAAGAAUUUUUCCGGACAAAAGCAGUUCUCUGACGUCGUUCACGGUGCUCGAAUCCUUCAUUUCCAUUGGAAUGCACGCUGCAUUAAGCAAGCUCGACGACAUCUCCACCACGAAACUCACCUUCCUCCUUGAAGAAUCUUCGCUCAAAUAACGACUCAUCGUUUUCAUAAACACAAUCACUUCCGAAAAUUCACCGAUUCCGAAUUCGCUUAGGUUCUGGCAAUCCUCGACUAGUUCCAUACCGGAGUGAAAUAGCGACAUUGUUUGAAUCGGUAAGCUGUAGAUUAUCUGGAUUUUCUGCUUUAAACUAUGAACCGUCUCUGUUUUGUCGAUGUUUAUGUUUAUCCGUUGGCCGGAGAAUUCCACAGCGAUCGGAAACUCGUUUGAUGGUGCGAUGAUUUGGUCGACUGAGAGAUCGAUUCGCGAACCUUCUGUGAUGAAUUGAUCGUAAUCCUCCAUGACGAGUCCAUCGAGUAACUCGCAACCAUAAACAGAGAGAGUUUGGGAUUCGAUGGGGAUGCCAAUGAAUUGUUCAAUUUUUCUCUUGAUUUCGAUGAUUUGUUCUUGAUUUUCUAUAUCUAUGGGGAAUUCGUGUCCCAUUGUGACAAUGAAGAUCUUCAUUGGAGUUCUCUGGUUAGGGGUUUUUUUUUUUCCUUCCUAUUCCGUUCUUGAGAUUUGGGGGAAAUUUGGUUGUUGAAAGUGGAGAUUUUAUUGUUGGAAUUCAUGCAGAAACGAUGCUCGAUUCUUUUGAAGAGCGUGAUUGAUUUCAACUGACAGCAGAUCGAUUCUUGUGAUGAUGCCACUGAAGAUGAGAAACAGUUUUCUCUUUUCUUUUCUAUUUUUCUUCUUGGUUUAAUUUCACUCUUCGUAAUAUCAACGUUCAAUAAUUCAUGAUGCAUAACUUAACUUUACUGUUUGUGUUAAAAAAAAAAUUUCAAGAAAUUGAAACUUGAGUUUGUUAUUUCUAAAGUUACUCUACGAUUUUUGAAAAUGUUUUCUUUAAAACAUAGAGAAGAGAAAAGCAAUGAGGUUUUUUUCUUUUAUCUUAUUUUCCCUUUGAAUACACAUAUAUAAUAUUGAGAAAACAAAACCCUUAAAAUUAAAAAAACUAAAGAGGCUAUAUUUGCCCCCAACUAAUUUAACAAAAUAUAUAAAUUAUCCCAUCAAUAUUAAGAUUGAUGAUACCUCGAUUAUAUAAAGAACUUAGAGUUGUAAGAGGACUCGUCAACAUAAUUUAAUGACAUUUUCCUUUCUAGACAAUUGAAGAUAUAAUCAUAUAUUUUAAACAUGUUAUUAAAAAUAUACUAAACAAAUUAAAAUAGUAAUAAUAAUAAUUAAGAGAAGUUAAAAUUACUAAAAAAAUUAAUAAUAAUAACACUUGAAUAACACACUUUGGUAAUUGAACAAAAAAAAAAUCAUGUUUAUGACAAAAGAAAAAAAACAAGAAUUUGUUCGAUUACAAAUUAAAUUUUGAAACUUAACGGAUAAUUUUCAAUUGUAAAUUAGUUGUUGUUAUUAAUUUUAGAGUAAGCUUCAACUUUUUUUAAUUAUUAUUAUUAUUUUUUAAUGUAUUUUUUAAUAACAUAUUUGGUUAAUAUAUGUGUUUUUUUAAACAGAAAAUUAGAAAAAAAAAUAUAAUUUUGGUUAAGAAAUAAUUAAAUUAAAUUAGAAAAGAUGAAUUAAUAAGAAAAUUUGAAGAAUGAGAUAUUUAAUAUAUAUACAUAAAUAUUAUUAUUUCUAUUUUUAUUUGUUUAAUAUAUUUUUAAUAACAUAUUUUUGUUAAUAUAUGAGUUUUUUAAAAAAAAUUAAAAAUUGGAAAAAAGAUGUGUAAUUUUGAUUAAGAAAAAAUUAAAUUAAAGUAGGAAAAUAAAAAAUAAUUUAAUUUAAUAAAGAAAUAUAUUUUUAGAAUUUGAAUGUUCGAUAUAUAUAUUAUAUUAUAUGUUGGUAUGUAUAUAUAAGUAAUGGGAAAAAGUGAAAUGUGUGAAACCCACGUAUAUAAAUAAUGAAAAAAUAAAAAAUGUGGGGUCGUGGGAUCCACUGCAUGGAAGUCGUAUAGACCGUACACGAUUUCACCUUAAAUCACCUAUUUUUAAAAGUAAUUUUGUACCCACCCUAUUUUUUAUAUAUGUUUCAAAUUUUACAUUAUUUUUAUAAUAGAAUCAUAUCUAACAUACGAGAACAUAUCAUUUAAUCAGAUUUAACACAAUUUAUAAAAAAAUUAACUACAUUAAAUUACAUGACUUUUAGAAAAUAAACAUUUAUGACUCCCCUAAACCAUACUCUAUCUAGGUUGCCCCUAGAUCAUAUGACUCACAGUGAAUUCAAAUGCAACUUUUCUCUUUAUUAAUAAAUAUUAACUAACACAACAAUCAAAUCCAACUUCUUAUUUUUAUUAGUAAAUAUUAACCUAACAUAACAAUCAAAUCUAACCUCUUACAUCUUUAUUAAUAAAUAUUAACAAAAAAUACAUCCUCUUAUAGUUAUUAAUAAAUAUUAACUAUAAGGAUUUGAUUUGAUGCUUCAAUUUUGUCUUUAAUAAAAUAUCGACCCAAUCAACGAGUGUAGCUCUAUUACAUAGUCCAACUCCACCAUUAAAGGCAAAUGCACUUGCAAAAGUCAAGUUUUGUACAUGAAAUUUUAUAAAGAAUUAUUGAGAUUGACGUUCACUUUAUGUACAUGAGAAGGUAGUAAAUGGGCACUUGACGUUCACUUUGUACAUGACAAGGUACUAAAUGGACACUUGAAAUCUGCUAUAUGUUCCAUAAAGCAAUAAACUCAUUGCUUGUACAACAACGUCCAUGACACAUUCACAGUAUCAAUACAUUAGAACCAAACUCGGUGUGGUUGAAGCAUUCUCAAUAUCGCGUUGAGGGGGUAUUAAGGAAGAAUUCACACACACAAUCAGCACAAGCAAAGGUCAACAUUAUAGUCGACAAAGCCAAAAGCACAAUCAGCACAUUCCAUGAGUACGAUCCACUACAUUCGAAAAUAAUCGAAAAGCUUCCAUUAGUUAGAAAGAAAUUGACAAAAGUAGUACACUAUCGAUUUUUGUUUUUAAAAGUAGCCCAUUUCUGAAAUUAUAUAAUAGUAAAGUAGAGACAUUUUAAUAUUCCAACUUGAAUCGAAGGUUAAGGAAAUAUAUAAAUUAGACGUGUGAUUUAAUUUAAUUAAUUUUGUUUUUUUUUUUGGAAAGGUGAGUUUUGGGAGGAGAUAUUAUAAUUUAGUACUCUCUGAUAAGAAUUAUAAUAUAUACUUGACCCUCCUUCAUUCAACGAAAAAUAUACAAAAUAAUACUCCUUAUCAGUAAAAUGCAAAGCACUAUUUGAAAAACACUAAUACUAAUAUUCUUAACCAAAAUUGAAUCUCAAAAUAAAUUAAAUAAUCUAUACUAACUAUACUCUAUUUUAAUUAUAAAAAACCUAUUACAAGAAUAAAUUAUUCUUUAAAUACAUCCAUUUUACCUUUACAUCUUUGAUAUGGAUUUUUGUAAUUUGAAAAAGAAUAGAAGAUGAAAAAUGAUUUUGAUCUGAAAGGUCAAUAAAGAAGUUGGAAGAUUUAGUUACCUCUCACACACACAACUAUAAUGAUAUAUUUACAAUAGAUUUAACUUAGGAUUUAACCGAACCCUUCAAUGAUUAAGAUAUUAUUCGUUUUUUCUAAUACCAAACAAGGUACAGAAAAUUCACCCACACCUCAAGUCAAAGUAGUAUAAUUAUCUCAAAUACGAAUAUGAGUUAGAUCAUAGGUAUUAAACAGUUGACAAUCACACAUUGUAGUAAUUUUAUCUUCGAAUAACUACAAUGGUUUGUGAUUGUAAAUCUUUUUUAAUUUUGUUUCUAUGUAUAGUAUAAUAAUCUAAAAAUUUCAUGUGCCCAUCCCACGUUAUGGAUCAGUAACAAUAAAACAAAAAAGAAAGAAAGAAAACAAUCAAACGAAACAUACAUCAUCUAAGAAUGUUUUAUAAUCAAAUAACAUAAUUAAUGAAUUUAAAACAGUAGUUUCUAUCUAAACCGAAUGUCAACCCUUUGAUCCAUUAUUAGACAUUUUCUUACUUGAAUUUUGUAAUAAAUAAUCACCAACUUGAUUACGUGCCAUGCAGAAUUUUUUUAAAAAAAACUCUCACCCUCUAAUGAUUUUCUCAAUUACUCCACACACACUUCUGUUGAUUAAAUUAAUCCCAUUAUUAAAAAAGUUUCCUCCGAAAAAAGUUAAAAAGAAAUUGAUCAUAAUAUCGAGCUGUUUAUUGGCUAAGUUUGUACGUGCCAAUAUUGUUAGUUAAUAUGUUUUCUCAGCACUUCUUCGCAGUACUGUGGCUUUGAUCCAUUCUCAUAGCUGACCAAACACAACUUAAUUCUCAUUAUUGCUAAUUAGGUUUAUCAAUAAUUCCACAUUCUAUUUUAUAACAAUAAAAUGUUUGGAUUAAGCUUGUUUGAUUAUAACCAACUUGGUUUUUAAAUAUAUCAAGCUUUAUAUAGAUAGUACUUCCAAUUGUUUUUUAAAUAAAAUUAAUUAGAGUAGUUUUUUUUUAAAAAAAAAUUGACUAAAAGUCAAUUAUUUAAUUCAAAAUGUGAAAACAAACUAAAAAAGAUUUUUCAGAAGAAUGGCCUAGUUAUUAUUGUUUUAGAAAAUAGAAACAAAAUAUAUAAAAUUCAUUUGUAUGUUGCUAUAACUAAUACAAAAAUGUACGUUAAAUAUAAGAAAUAGAUAAAAAAAAAAAAAACUAUAUGUGAAUCUCAUUCAAAUGUUCAAGAUAACUAAGAGCGAAGAGGUUUGGUAUUCGAAUUUUUUAGGUACCCAUAUGGUCAAGUUGAAAAAAGAAAAUCUUAUUCGAUAAAAUAUCACUUUUCUUUGUUUUAUUUGUAAGAAUGUUAAUUAACUUUGUUUAUUCAUAUAGUUGCUUGCUUUCUUUUAUAUUGUACCAAAAAAAAAUUAAUUCGAAGAUGACGUAAGUUAUUUUAAUUGGUUGUUUUUUUUUUGUUGAUUUUUUCUUAUAAAUAUAACACAAAAAACUAAAUAACUUAAAGAUAUAUAAACGAACCUUAGGGGAAAAAAAAGGUAAAUAACUGAAUAACAAGUGAAGUAUAUAAACCAUAGCAAAGAUUUUUUUUUUUUAUAUAUAUAUUUUUCUAAAGGAAUGUCUAAAAGUCAAAAAUGUUAUUUUAGUUAAAGUCACUUAGCUUCCAACGAAUCAAAAUUAAAUUAAAUUAUAAAAGAACCUCUAGAGAUCAGAAGAAAAGUCAUAUAUGACAGAUUGUAAUUCAUGAACUGUUCAAACUUCAAACACUAAAAUUUCCACUAUAAAAAACCCAACCAUCUUUGAAUGCAAUCAUCAUUAUAUCUCAAAACAUCAUUUAAGUGUCUAUCCAAAGCCAUAUUUUGUCUUCUUUUCUUCGUAUAGAAUUACCAUGGCCAUUACUCCAAAGCUUUUCUUCCUUCUCCUUUUGCAGCUAAUAUUUGUAUCAACAUCUCUCUCAAACAUCGCCAGAGCAAAUGAGUUGGCGGUUGGGUUUUACAAGAAUUGCUGCCCUGGGGUGGAGUAUAUCGUCGCCAAGACGGUGGCUCAAUAUGUUAAGAAACAACCAGCAAUAGCUGCUUCUUUGUUGAGGAUACACUUCCAUGACUGCUUUGUUAGGGUAUAUAAGUAACUAUAUACUUUUUGUUUUUUUGACAAUGAAUUGGCAGUGACAAGGAACACUAAGACACUUUUAUUUAUAUAUAUAUAUAUAUAUAUAUAUAUUGAUACUUUUAUUUAUCUAAAUUUAUUACCAUUAAAAAAUGAGAAAGUUAAAUAAGAGAAAACUCACUUGAUUGAUCUGAUAAUUAUUUGAUAGGGAUGUGAUGGUUCAGUGCUGCUAAAUUCCGGACCAAAUAACCAAGCUGAGAAAGAUGCCAUUCCCAACCUUAGUUUAAGAGGUUAUAAUGUUGUUGAUGCCGUUAAAGCUGCCGUUGAAAAGCAAUGUCCUGGUGUUGUUUCUUGUGCUGACAUCCUUGCUUUGAUAGCUCGUGAUGCUGUUAGAAUGGUAAUUUACAAAUUUAUAUAAAGGUUCUUUAUUUUUUUAAUUUUAAAAUGUUGAUCUAAAACUAUAACUUUAGACACGAACCACAAAUAAUGAUAUUGAAUGUUAAUUUUUUUAAGAAAUAAGACUUAGAAAAAGAUGUGAGCUGUGAUGAUUUGAAAUCCUAACAACUUUAAUUUCUAUAGAGAUCAUGAAGGAGUGAGUUUGCAUGUUAAUGUAAAAUCUAAAAAAUGGAUGUUGGAAAAUCCCAAUACUCUACUAUUAAGCAAUUAUUAACAACUUAUAAUAUUAAGCAAUUAUUUCUAGAAGUUUACUUUAAAAAAAAAAUAGUUUUUUUUUUAUAAAAAAACAAUGUUAAUUAAAUAUGUUGACGUAGGAGAAUAUUUAUAAUUAUUUAGAAUUGAAAAGAGAAAAUUUAUUUAGUUAUUUAUUAUUAAUUUGAAAAUAGAGUGGAGGCCCAGCUUGGGAAGUUCCAACGGGAAGAAGAGACGGAACUGUAUCAAUCUCACGAGAAGCAUUGAUUAAUCUGCCUCCUCCUUUCGCUAAUAUCUCUUCUCUCAAAUCAAGUUUCCAAUCCAAAGGUCUCUCCCUCAAAGAUCUUGUCGUUCUAUCCGGUAAGUUCUUUCUUCAACACUCUCAAUGAUUUACAAUUUCCUUUCGAUAUGAUUACGUUGAUUUUAACACACUUCAAUUUGAUCUUCAGGAGCACAUACAAUCGGAGUCUCUCACUGUACCUCUUUCUCCAAUCGCCUCUACAAUUUCACCGGCAAAGGCGACGCCGAUCCCAAACUAGACAAAUACUACGCGGCCGCACUCAAGAUCAAAUGCAAACCAAAUGACCAAAAAAAAAUCGUCGAGAUGGAUCCUGGAAGCUUCAAGACCUUCGAUCAAAGUUAUUACACACUCGUUUCCAAGAGAAGAGGAUUGUUCCAGUCUGAUUCCGCUCUUCUCGACGAUCCUGAUACUAAAGCCUACGUUCAGUUUCAGUCUAGUACACGUGGCUCUACUUUCGCCGCCGAUUUCGCUAAAUCCAUGAUUAAUAUGGGGAAUAUCGGCGUUCUCACCGGUACCGACGGUGAAAUUAGGCGCCGGUGUGGUUUUGUUAACUGAAUUAUUGGGGAAAGGAAAUGGGUGAAGCGUUCUUUGCAGUUUGUGAAGCUUUUUCUUUGUGCAUUUUGAUUUGAUUCGAAUUGUGAGCUGAGUUUCAUGUUUUCGCUCUCUGUGGAAAACAACGUACGGUCCUGAUUUAAAUCUUCAGUUAUCUUUUGUCCUUUCUUUGAAAUACGUGUUAUCAUCUUAUCAUGUGAUUAAAUCCAAUUUAUUCAAUUUCUUAAAUGAAGUUCAAAUCUUGAGUUCUUCUAUUUUUAAAUAUGGAGGGUCUAAUUAUAAUAAAUUGUUCUUUAAAAUAAUUUAAAAUUUUUAAAUAUAAGUAUAAAUGUUGAUAUACUUUGUUACAAUAUUAUCAUUCAUUAAUGAUAGACGUUAGUAGAUAUUCAUACAUGUCUAUCAAUAUUUAUGGCUACUUAUUAAUGACAAAUUGAAAAAUCAUUUUAUAGUUGUAAUUAUUUUCUAACAAUUUUUUCAUUUAAAACAAUAUUAGUAAAAACUGCUUUGAUUGAUUGAGAUGAUAAAAAAAGUUGACAACGUAUAAUAAAUAUGAACAUCGAUACCAAUGAUAUGAAAUUUAAUUUACAACACUAUCAUCUCUUAUAUUUUGGUUAAAUCUCGCUUUGAUGUUCUAUCAACGUGUAUAUGUAAAUGAUUUGUAUUGACAAAAAAAUUAAACUCAACAAUUGUUUAAAAUUGUUUAGUGUUACACACACAUAUAAUUUAUGUAGAGACUAAAACAACUAAUCUAAAUAUAUAUAAACUUUAAGAUAUAUCUUCAUUCAAAAUGUUAAGAGUUGAAUCCAAAUAAUAUUCUUCCAACUACUUACGAUAACUACCUAAAUUAUGUAAGAAAAUAUAGAGAUAUUUUGUAUGAAACAAAUAAUUAUUAUAUCACUAUAGCUUUAUUCAUAAUUUUAUAUUGAUAUUGCAUAAUCCAUAUAUGAUUAAAUUUUAGUACACACCUCCCCAACUUAAGUAUAAGUAAAAUAUUAAUUCAAUUAUUUUACUUAAAAUGUUAAAGAGUACUAUUAAAUUAAUUUUGUAUUGGGUUUUAAUAAUUGAAAUCAUUUAUAUGGAGAAGAACGUAAAUCGCUAUUUGGGCAUGAAUUGUAUAUAAGAUUUUUUGAAUAUGGAGAAGCUAAAAUUUAGAAUACUAAGCGACAAAACGAGAAAAAAAGAAAAACUCCAAUUAUCCGUACACUUAAAAACCCGCCAUUGCUUUGCGAGGAAGGAAGAAAGAAGAGAGCGAGAAAAAGAAAAAAGAAAAAAGAAAAAAGAAAAAAGAAAACACAAAGCAGCAACAAAAAAGAGGAGAAAUAAAACCCCUACGGUGUUCGUCCAAGCGGUCGGCGUUUUGCUUCGGAUAGUUCAUGAAGUUCAACUCGUGCAAUUUUACAAGCCGUCCAAUCUGUUCUAUUCUACUGUUUUCUGCGUGUUUCCUGAUUAUUAUCAAAUCUCUAUAAACGGAUUUCAUCGUCUGAACUACUCCAAUUUGGUUCCACAUCUAUUCUUUCUGAUUCGUCCUUGCAUUUACAAACCGGGAUUACUGCGACUUCCAAUACAUACGUCUUCUCUGUUUUUGUUCAUGUUCAUCCAUGAUGGUUGGCCGUAAACUCUUCAAAACAAAGCUAUGUGUUCUCUAUCAGAAAGGUUACUGUUCUCGCCCAAGUUGCUCCUUCGCUCACGGAAACGCUGAACUCAGGCGAUUUGCUGCUCCUUCUAUCGGUAAUUUGCCCCUUAUAACUCCACUUUCGUCUCGUCUUCUCUAAUUUUGGGCUUUAGGGUUGAUGAAAUGGAAAUUUGCUAAUCCUUGUCGUUUAUGUCUUUAUUCCUCAUCUCUGAUUGGAAUUGGUUUUGGUUACGCGUCGUUGAUUAUUCUUACAUUCAACGCGAACAGUGGCAUAGUGAUGGUAUUAUGUUUUUGCGUUUUUUUUUCUUAGUAUUGGUGUGAUUCAAGGGAUCUGAGUUUAUUUGCUUGGGAGAGGUAUAGACUAAUUUUGGACUGAUGGUGUUUUUUUCUUCCUUUAUGGUCUUCUUGUUAUUAUCAAUGUUGAGGACUUAAUUUAUUGCAUUUUUUUUCUCCUAUUAAUCUCUGGUCGUCGUACUCUUUCUUCUUUCUGUCUGUUAUUGAUUCUUCCUUAUGGUGCAUUGUGAGGGAGGGGCCGUGCAUCUUUAAAAUGGGCUAGCGCUAGACAUUAAUUACUAGGUUCUUUCGGUUAAUCAUUGAAACUAUUCUGUCUGCUGUGUAUUUAUAGCUAUACGAACACAAUCCCCCUCAUCUAUGGCUCUGUGGUUUGGUAUCUUGUUGCUUGCUAUCUUCGAUAUUUAAAUUGGUUCUGCUCAAGUCGUCACAUGAGACUCCACGCCUCUACCAAUGGAUAUUUAUUAUAGAUGGACGUUGAAUGAUUCCAAUAAUGCGAGAUGUAAAAAAUUUCUCCAAACUUGCAUGGUUACCGAAGUGGCUAGUAAAAAAUAAUAGUCCAGAUCAGACGAUUUUCAUUGGACUGGCAAUGGAUAUGGUGGAUUUUUUCUCUAUUGAGCUGCCCUGUGGUAUAUCUCUGGAGAUGUUUAUGGCCCUUGUGCUGCAUCAGCUAAUCCAGAAAGUACUUGUUGAAGAUUAUAAUUAUUUUCCAAAAUUUAUACAUCUCCCCCAGUUUUCGUUUAAUUAUCCCAUUACGAUCUUCUGGGUUAUGCUACCGUUGUUCAUGGGGCUUCCUUUUUCUUAGGAGAGGUUCUUCAUUUCUUUAUGCCUCCUGAGUAUGCCAAAGGACUUCCUCUUGGAGUAAUGCAAUUUUUAUGGGAGUAUUGCAUGAAGAAUCAAAUUUGAAUCUAUAUCAUUGGUCUGUACUUGUAUGAUUGUGUGGAAACUCAGAGAUAUCUCCCUUUUGGAUCAAUGUUACGUGAACUUAUUGUUCAGCAUGGUCACGGGAGUGAAAUCCUUCCUUCUAUUCUCGAUAUGAAGGUUAUCCCAUGGUUUAUUGUUGGGCAUGGAUUUUUCUAUAUCUUUUCAUUAUUUCUGUGGAUCUUUUGGAACUGGCAUGGCGGCACUCUUACUGUUCCUUAUUUUGUUUCUCAUCUUUUCCAUGUAAUGGUAAGAUAAGCCUUGUAAGAACUUCAUUGAUUCAUUAAUUGCUUUUUAGAAAUAAUAUGUUGCAGCAACUAACUUGGUAAAAUGAAUUUUCCCCAUCUUUGCAGGUAGAACGGAAUAUAGAGGAAAUGAUUUAAGGCAUAAGCUUGACAGCAGGCAUUCUCCCCUACAGGAAAGGGAUUCUAGAGGGCGACAUGUACCUCGUGGUAACGAAGUCACGUGUUUUUCUUUUUGAUCUUUCAUUGUUUACUUUUUUUUAUUAAGGAAUUGUAGGAAGCUAGGUUCUCAACACACAUGCACACUUAUGUUUAAAAGAAUAUAUGGACUGCAUAAUUCUUUUACAUGUUAUAAUAGCAAAGUUCUUCCCUGAUUUCUUUCAUUUUGUAAUUGAAAUUGCAGAGUAUAGCUCAUCUUGGUCACUCGAACGGCAUAGGUAUACUGUCACAACUCUUGUAUGGUAUUCUCAAGUUAUUUUUGAAUUAGUUCUAGCAAAGGAAGGGUAGGAAGUGAUUCUGUGAUGGAAUUAUGUAUCAAGGGACAAAUUUUUAUUUGAAGUCCUUGCAAGGUAUGUUUAUGAGAUUUUUCUCACAGGAAAAUGGUCAUAUGAUACUGACGACUUUUUUCCUACAAGAGUACUUGUCUAUCUGUUUAAUAAGAGAUUACUUCCAGUGCCUGAUUCUAUUAUUUCUUAGCCUUACUUCUAGUUUUUAGGUUUGAAGGCCUUAUGUGCUGUAAUAUUUGUAUGGCCCGAGUUCUAUAUUCUACACCCAGUUAUCUUUUCAUGAGUACUGGCAUAAAAAAUUACUUCUUAGAAUAGUUUACCGGUGGAUACUUUGAAAUGGUACACACUCUUGUUUCAGUGACCGUAAGAGAAGGAAAAAGGAACAUGGGGAUGCCUCUCGCGAUUAUUCUGGAAAUUUGAGGAUUUUAGAUAGGAAUGAAGAACAUGACAGACAAGGGAAAAUCUCAUCUGUUUCUAGAGACACUCUUGAGGGGCAGGUACAGAAAACACUAUUGUUUUCUAACUUAGAUCUUCUGUAUAUUAGAAACGGUUACUCCCUGGAAAUCUUGGUUGACCAUCUUUGAAUUACACAGUUAAACAAGAUUCAGACAGAUAUUGAGAUGGCUGAGCAACGCAAACACCAAGCUGAGGUAGUAUUUUCUCUUUCUUUUAGUUGCUUUCAACCUCUAAUGUUGUGGAGGCAAUAGGUAAUAUAUAUUUCCUUUUUCCGUUCAUGUAUCAAGUGGGGGGAUUCCAAUUUUUUAAAAUUAAUCAACUCUUAAAAUAUUCUCCUUUAAGAUAGUGUUUUAUCAAAUUUUUUACUUGUAAGAGGUUUAAGGUGUUUAGUCAUUGAAACUCUGUGUCAUGUUGGUUGGAGUGAGUUGUACUGCCACUAGUCACAUUGGCACACAUUUUAAUGGGGUUUGUUUUCUCUCUCUCUCUCUCUCUCUCCUCCACACACACACACACACACACACACACACACAAUAGUGAAGGCAAAUGCCAGACAAUAUCAAUGAUGGAACAAAGGAAGAAUAUAUGCUAGCACCAUAACACCAUGGGUGCCUUUGACACAAACACACACACACAUAUUGUAUAAUGAAGGCAAAUGCCGUGGGGAAAUUUACCUUUUUAUACAAUUUGAAUGAUUAAACAAAGGGAGAAUAUACCCUAGCACCAUGGGUUGCCUUUGACAGCUAAGAAUAUCUUUCUGCUCAAAAUCCAUCGCAAUCGCAUCGCCUUAUCAAUUGACAGUGAUUGUUUAUCACUAGAAGGGAGAUUGAAUAAGAAAAUAGGUCUAGCAGAUGUCUUCCUUAAAAUCACAUUAAUCUAGAUUGGAUCCAGAACUUGGGAAAGAAUUACUGUAAAUUAAUGAGACGAUGAAAGGGCAAAAUAUGAUUUAGCACCACUGAAGUUGAUUGACAAUUAGAGUAACUACCAAACUAGGGUCAGAAAUUGUUGGAGGAAGGCCAUAGAAGUUGGAAGCCGUUGAACUUUGUCAACGAGCAACAGAGAUACAAAUGAAGGGGGUCAAGCAUACCAUACAUUCCUAAGCUGAAGUCAAAUUCAUAAACUGGAAGCUAAGAGUUGGGUGAGAUCUGGUUGGAGAUCUUAGAAUGCAGCAUGUAUUACAAUUUCUUCCAAUUUGAUGGCAUUUAACCUAGUUGUAUUAGCACUAGAUUGUCUCAACUUUUUUUAAAAAAAAAAGAGAAAAAAGAAAAAGAAAAAGAAAAUUUAAUGAAUAAAAACUUCAUGAAUGCUGUUGCACAAAAGGGGCUGAGGAUCAUUGAGGCUAUUGCAGUAAAACUCAUGAAUGCUGUCAUGGUUCCAACUAGAACUAGCAAUGAUUGGGAGGUUUUGAUUCUGCUAAGAGGGGAAUAACAUUAUCAUGAUUGAAACCGAAUACGUCUUAGUGAUUGUGAUUGGUAUGGAAGUGUUUUGAUGACAAAUGGACCAAAUGAGGGGUUGAAGGAUUUGGACUUUAGGAGCGCAAUUUGGGUGGGUAACUAGCUGUAGGGUUCAGACUCCUAACUACAAUGAGGGUUACUAAAUGGUGUUUGGUGUCAGAAAUGGUAAGAUUUGUGUCUAUUUUUCUUUUCCUUUUUUUUAAAAAAAGAAAAAUUGAGCAACCCUCAAACUUCCCUACCAUUUUGGUUGAAGCCUUUUGUGGUGCAUGGGCAAGAAGCCAAGAAUAAUGUGAGUGGAAUGAGGUUUAUUUAGAAUGGAUCAGUAAAAAAGAGGUGCAACCUGACUGAUUUCAUUUUUCUAGAUUGUCGUGAUAUUCAUCAAAUCUUUUGAGGCGAAAGUUUGUUAGGUCAGCCUACCCAUGGAGAUGCAUCGAUAUAUAUAAGAUAAUCAAGAAGAUGAAGUUGCUUGGGAAGUCGGACACAGGAGAAUUGGGAAGAAAAUCAUGCACAAGAGGAGGCCAGAUGCUGUAAUUGACAGGGUUACUAAGCUAGACUGUGAGCCAAAUGUUAAAAUCUUGUUAGAAAAAAUGGUCUGAUUCAAUGUUCUUCUGGUGCUUAUAUUAAGAGUCACAAUCCUGUGUUCAUCAACUAGGCAACAAGGCGAUGGGUGGUGCUUAUAUUAAGUGUACUUGUUGGUUAGUUAUGGAGUUGUAAUAAUCAGGAGAAGGCAUGGGUUUGUCAGGUAGGUAGAGAUUAUGGUAACAGUUUUUAGGAGUGAUGUAAUUCAAAGUAGAACUAAUUUCUCAAAUGAAUUCUCUGCCAAUAAUGGCUAAGAGAUGUGGUAUUUAUUAAGGCUUUGUAAGUUUGUUACAAAGUAGUUAUAAGGAAACUGUUUAGGAAACAGUUAAGUAUUUAACUGUUUUAACUAACUACAGCUGUCUUCUACUCUAACUAACUAUAGCUUUCUUUUAGCCUCAUUCCUAUUACAUCAAGGAGAGAAUUCAGCAUCUUGAUUGCAUACUAAAUCUUUGUAGUUACCUAUUUUGCAUUCAGGUUGACCUAAAGGUUAAAAUUGAAAAUUAGAGUAAGUAGUUGAUUCCUUAAUUCCUCUGAGAUGGUUGAAGCUGAAUCUCUCUUACAUGCGAAAGUGCUUUGUGCUGUCUAAUGUCAUGUGUAUUGUUGGCAUUUUGAUCGAGCUAUGCAUUCAAGAUAAUACAUAAAUAGAUUCUUCCAAUGAAAUGAUUCUAUGAAUAUAGAUUGAAGAUAUUAGCAAAAUUUUCUGUCUUUGAAGGUCUACAUGGACGAGAAAAUUCAAGAAGUGGACAGUUUGACUUCUAGAGUUCAAGAACUAGAAUCUCAAUUAUAUAAAGAGAGGCAGGAGUGUAGAAGGUACACGUUGUUGUCAUGUUUCGUGCUGAAGGUGGACACCUGCCUCUUAAUCCUACUUUUGUUGGAUCUUUAAUAUUCAGGAUCAAAUCAAAAAUCAAGAAGUUUGUCAAAGCACAUAAUCGUCACUCAAGAUUACAAGAUGAACUGAGUCGGCAAGUUUACUUGUUCUAUUCUUUUGAUUGCGUUUUCUAAUGGUGAUGAAUUUCAGGGAAUUAUGGUCACUCUUCUAUGUGUAGGUCGCAAGUCCGCCUGCAACAGUUGGGGGAUCAGCUGGGGUCAGAUGUUAAUAAAAUUGGUGCCAAUGAAGAAGACUCAAGUAUCAAUAUUGUGAGCGAUGGAGAGGACCCUGGUUAUCAUGCAUCUGACCCUUUUCAUGACCUUCAAAGAGACACUUCUGCAAGCAAAAGGAAGAUGCAUGAUGUUCAAGAUAUUGCAGAGAACUUAAAACGAGGUGCCUUUUGAAACUUAGUAAUUAAUAAUUUCUUUAUAUAGAUUUGCAAUUUUAAACAAUAAAUUUAUUAGUUUGUCCUCACCCCUAGUAAGCUCUCUUGUUUAUUUCAAGAUGUAUCAAUGCAAUCUUCUUGUUUCUUUAUGGUGGCGGUGGUGAUUCUUUUUUCUUUUUGUGGGGGGUAUAUUUUAAUUACGGUGUUCUUCAUGUUGGAGCCUUUUUACUUCCGUACUUAAUAAUAUAUGUGCGCGUGCUACAUUAGCUGAUUUAGACAAAGGAAAUAAAGAGGCAGUGGGCAGAUUGAGAAGGAACUCUCGGUGGAAUGCCCAUCCUGCCAAAUCAACAUAUAGCAAAAUUAAGAUGGUUGGCAAUGAAAUCAAUGAUCUGAUACCUACAGCAAAUGAAAGCAGGCAAAGGAGGGGAAGGACAUCUAGUAGUGUUUCUUCUGCAGACAAGGUGACUCAUAUUUUUCUAAUUAAUUUUAUUUGUUUUCACAAUUUACUAUGCGCUGUGUCUUUGAGGCGUGGAUGUCUGAUUAGUUAUGAUAUAUGGAGUGCAAAGUCUAUAGGUUAUGGCAGUGUGAAGUGUUCUACUACCUGUUUAAUUUGCUUCUUCCAUAGUUCUUUAACAUUUGUUUCUAUCUUUGUCUGGCAAGAUCAAUUUGAAACCUUCCAUACAUUACAAAUGAUAUUGAUAUAUACUAUUGUUCGUUUAUGCCCUUAAUUCUGAACUCAAAUAUGCAGGUUAGGGGUCUGGAUUCAGGUGUUGCAGUGCCAUUAACCAGCAUGGCUGGCCAUGCAGUGGAUGAGGAAGUUGACAUUGACUUGGAAAUCAACCAUGAAGAGAAAGAACCGAGGGAAAAUUCUAUGGAGGCUGCAUCUGGCAGCCUGCCUUUCCUUCCCCCUCCACCACCACCUCCAAUUCGUGAAUUCAGUCAUUCAAAGGUUAGCAACUUCUCAAAAUUUCACCAACUUUUCGUCAGUUCUCUUGUAAAUACUUUAGGAAAAAAGUGUACCUGUCAUUUUUCUCGUUCAAUCUAUAGAUAUAACUGAAACUUUUUUUUGCACAUCCCAGAUCAAAUCCAAGUUCUAUCUUGAACAUGAAAAAGUUUGAACCAAACCAAUAUUGAAAGCCACGAGUCAUGUUGAAUAUGUUAUAAUGUCUCUUUCAUCAAUCUUUUAACACCUAUUGUUUAUAUCAUCUAACAUGAGAUUUGGAUUGCAGUAUGAAGGUGAAGAUCAAAAUGUAGAUGUGGAGGUGGUCGAUGAAGAAAAGGAAUACAUGGACGAAGCUUAACAUUGGGUGAUGCUGCUGUAGAGGUUAGAACAACUCUUAGUAUAGUGAAAGUAUUGGUUUACUUAGAGAGUUUCGCAGAAUGAGGUUCUUGUUAAACACAAUUCUACUUUCCAGUUUUAUUAGAAAUCAGAUAUCGGCAAACCUUCCCUCGUUCUAUUUCUUCUUGGCAGAUUUUGAUUGCUAUCUUUCGAAUUAUUUUGGCGAAGCAACACAUUGUGCACUGAUUUACUUGUUGUUCGUCAGUGAAGGCUACAUAUAUGAUUUACAGGUUCAAAGUUUCGAGCAUCCAAAAUGGAUCUACUCAACACAAAAAUGAAGACUUUUAUUUGAAGAAAAGUUUUAAUUUAUAAAUAUACCAACCAAUUUUUGAAAAUAAUAAAUAAAAUUUUACAAUUUAUUGGCACAAAUUUAGAAAAUACCUCUAGGGAAUGUUUGGCUCAUGGAUUUGGAAUUAGGGGUUCAAAUGGACAAUUAAAUAAAAUUUUGGAAUUAUGAAACCAAACCCAUGGGUGAUAACGUUGCUAUCUUUAUAAGAUUAAUUUUGGCCUAGGUACAUAUUCCUUCCAUCGAAAAAACUAUUAUUUUGGUCGUAGAUAAAAUCAAGGCUCAAAAUAAUAAUAAAAAAUGUUUUUCGCAUUUAAGACAAUUUUGUUCUCAAACUUAAAUGAAGUCACAUUAUACAAGACUAUGUUAGAAUCUCUACAUUAAGCUAGCUUUUUUGAAAACAAUUCUUUUUCAAAUUAGUUUUCUAAAGAGAAUUAAAGUUAUUUCUUCUCUAUCAAUUCCAUUCGUAUUCUCACGUUUCUACUUCAAGAAACAAAUAUGUUAUUUAGGAGCUUUAGUCUUAAGCUUCAUUUUCAUAAAAUGGAAGGUUUUGAUUUUCUUACUUGAUAACUGCAUUUCCACACAUGAGUUUACAGCCAAAUUUUUUAUCAUUUAAUCAGAGGCGUGGAGUCUCAUGUGACGACUUGAGCAGAACCAAUUUUAAUAAACAUAUUAAUUAUAAAUCAUAAUAAUUAAAUUGGGUGUUGUAUCACAUCAAUUAAUUGUUGGAAAAAUAUAUUGGUUGAGGUUUAGGUUAAAAAACUAAAAAGCUUAACUAAAAUAAGAAAUAAUACCAAUUUUAAAUUUUAACUAUUUCUAAAGUAUUUUUUUUAAAAAAAUAAAUGGAUAAAAACUGCUCACAACGUACUCGUUUGGAUUCAAAUACAAUUAAUAACUAUAUAUCAUUUUACAAAUAAAACAACACAAAUAAAGAAUUGAAUGAAGAAACAAAAUAAGGAAAAUACUUGAACAAAAACUAUGCAGUCUUAGACAUUUAAAUCAGCAAUUCAUUACAGCUUUUUUGUAUUUAAAUGACAAAAAUACAAACCAAAUAGUAAUGAAAUUAAUUAUGAUGUAUAUUCUAUAUAAGGAUAAUUUGGUGGGCUAUUUUAAAGAACAUCAUAUCUAUUACUUUAGAUAAAAAAAAAAUAAUAAAUGAAAGUAUUGCUUUUUUAUUAAGUUAAAUUUCUGCAUAAACUUAAUUCUUGCAAAGAAUUUUCGAUGUAAAACCAACCAUGUAAGCUCAUGUGUUGGAAUACAGUUAGCCUUCGAUUUUAUGAAAAUAAAGCUUAAGACUAAAACUCCUGAACAAAUCAUACGAAUAGAAUUGAUAGAGAGAUAGAAGAAAUAACUCUAAUUCUUUUUAGAACACUAAUUUUAAAGAGAGUUCGUUUUUCAAAGAGUUUGCUUAAUUUAUUUCAUAGAUUCUAUGAGUGGGUUCAAGUCUUCGAUAAUGUGACUUCAUUUAAGUUUUAGUUGUCUCAAAUGCAGGACAAAUCAUUUUAUCGCAUAUCUAUGUUCGGGACAAAUAAUUUGUUCUCUUAUACGAACACUUCAUUUAAUUCGCUAAUCUGAGCCUUUAACCCAAAAUUCUUGUAUCCUAAUUCAUCUUACUUCCUCACAACAUACAUAGACAUAAACAUUCUAAUAAUAUGAAAAUCUGGUAUAAAUUUUAGCCAUAUAUUUAGGAGAUGGUGAUGCAAUUUUAUGUCAACAUAAACAAAUGGUUCAUUAUUUGAAUCUAAGAUACAUCAUAGAUAAACUAACCUAUUGAAUUUAAGAUCUAUAUUUUAUAAAUAUUUUAAUUUAAUUUUGUUAUAUUCUUUUGAAAGAAAAAUGGUCAAAAAGAUAACAUUUACAAAAUAUUUAUAUUUAUAAUUUAUAGAAAAAUCAAAUGUAGUAAUUUUUUUUUUGUCAAUUUUUAAGAAAAAUCCCUAUUUGAAAAAAGCUUUUAAAAUCAGAAAUAUGAUUUUAUUGAUGAGAGUUGUGAGAGCUCAAAAGAGUAUUUUGAAGAAAUGUCUAUGCGGCCUAUCCCCUUUCCCCUUUCCCCUUUCCCGAUUGUCGCUUACAUUCUACAAAGAAAUAAAUAAAUAAACCUACAGUGAAAUGUUCUCCAAUGUACUUAUUACAACCCAGAAUUAAGAAGGAAAAAUGAAGUGGAGAAACGCACGAGAAAGGGUAAUGGGUCAUUCCUAGGGAUGGGGACAUUGGGGAGGAGAACUCAUCUUUGUUGAUAUCAUUCAUCCAAUUUGCUAUUCAUAAAGCUAUUGAACAAAACCCAGCAUUUAUUUUUUCCUGAAAGCUGAAACCGAGUAAUCAUUUGAAGGAAUAAUAAUAAUAAUAAUAAUGCACAUAAAAUCUAAGAAGAAGAAGACAGAAAUUCUACAUGUACACUUUCUGGCGGUCUCUGUCUGUCAUGUGCAUUGAAAGAAGUGCUCCAGUGAUGCCGACGUGAAAACAUUAGAGGCCAUCCUCUCGGGCUUCACUUCAGAUACGUGAAGCUGACACUUGAUGAAUCUCUGUGGCAUUUUAAAUCAAACAAACUUCGCAGAUUCGUUUUGAAAAAUAUGUAAGAUUUCAAUGUAGCACAUGGUUUUUAAAAGUUAUGCUAGUUUCCUAUAAGGUAAUGUUUGAAUUCUUAGUUAAAUUCUAAAAAUAAAAACAAGUUCCAGGUAGAUUGUAGAUAACAUAACAAAGUCUACAAGUGCCUAUAGCUAAAAGUAGAGUGUUCAUAAGCUUGAUUUUUAAGUUUAAUUUUUAAAGAUUAGUAAGUGGACCUUGGUGUGUGAUCACCCUCAAUAAACUUGGAUUACUAAAUUAUAUGGAAACAAACCGCUAAUUGAGAUAUGAUUUCAGGAUCUGAGUCGAUAUGCCAAUCAGGUUCCAGUUGCCGAACAAAAGACGUCCUCCCAUUUUCUGUACUACAGAAGAGAACCUAAACAAAGAAGUACAAAAUUCAACCAUGUAAACAUAGUUCAGCUAGCUUCUCACAGGAGGUCUUAAUGGGGAGGGAUGCCAAAAGCAUUAAGAAAUUUAGUAAGAAAAAGAAAUAAUAGACAAAAGGAUAUUAAACGCCCAACACACUGCAGCAACCAAGAAACAAGCAAAUAAAAUAUAACGUAAAACACUAGGAUCAAUUUAUCAACCUCAUAAGGAUAAGGAAACUAUGAACAAUAAGCAGUCGAAACUUAUGAAAUAAAUAAAGUUGAUAGGGCCAACCUUUUCCUUGAUCAAGCCACCUGAUGCGAAAACACCAGCAUCUUCUAGAGCCACAAUAACCUUUCUCUGCACAAAAUAUUUUUUCAGUAUUAAAACUAAUAAAAUGAUGGUAUAUGAAGAUACUGCAAAAGGAAAUGCCUUCGAACCAUGGAGUUUUAGGGAACAAGGUAGAUUGUAGCUCCCAGAUCAUAAACUGAGUACCAAAAAGCAUAAAGCUGUUGUAUAGAGUUAGAUUUUUAAUCCUCAAACCAUCCUUAUUAUUAUUAUUAUUAUUUUCUUUUUGUUUCAAGUUUGAGCGUAUUUUGACUGCAUACCACCAGGAGAGAGAGCACAAAUCUUCUAUGCCAACCAUUUAAAGUGAGCAUUUUGCAGACUUCACUUAAGUUUGGAAAGUUCAUCCUGAUAAAUUAGUCUCACCUCGCUUUCCUCAUCAAGAACUCUUUCCAUCAAAUAGAGAUCACAAUAAUUUGUGAUCUCUAAAAGCACAUCCACGACAGAGGACCUUACAGUUGCUUGAUUCUGUCAAUAGCAUUACCAAACAUCAACACAAAACGAUAAUUCUUUCUCAAAGACAAUUUCACUCCAAAACACAUAGAUAGGAAAAAUACCACAGCCUGCAGCUCUUCUGGACUUUUUUCCUCCAAAAUUAUUCCAAGCAGACGACAAGUUACCUAAAAUAACAAGAAUUGGAAUCAGAACUUAUCAUUACAAUUUGUAAACUGUAACAUACUUCUACAAGAUGAAAGGUCGACUUCACUGCGUAAGCUUUUGGGCACGUAGUAUGAUAAACAUUAACUUGAAAGGUUAAUCUUACGUGUGAUGAAUGGUCAAUGAGAUUAGACUUUAAAGGCUAUCCAUUUCUAAUCAAAUAACUCAUAUCUAGCUUUCACCAUAUGAAGGAUCAUCGGACAUGUUUUCAUUACCUUUCUUCCACCACCAAGCUUUUGUCUAACAAUUUGCUCCAAAGUUGGCUGAAAAACACCACACUCAUUAUAAACUAUGUAAUGAAUACUAAUAAAUUGUAAAAAUACACAUUUUUAGUCUAUGAAAAAGUUUUCACUCAGCUCUUAAGCUUGAAAAGGCAACAUAACCCUUGAGGUAUGAAAUCUGGUCCAAGUUGGUCUUUGAAAUGCAUAUUACAUCAAUGAUGCUAAUAGGAUCUAGUUAAAUGAUAUCGUAUCAAUGCUUAACUGACGUGUCAAGCAUAAUAAUUAAUAAUUAUAUAUACAUUGCAUGUUUGUUCUUCUUUCACAUAUCAAAUAAAUAAAAUUAAUACAACUUGUGACAUUAUCAAAAUUCAUUAGACAUGUAAAGCACAAUAUCAAUUAAUUUGCUCAAUAAAAUUUUUGCUAGUACCAGUAAGGGAAUAAUUAUUCUAGGAACCAAACUUCAGGAGUUAUAAUGUGAGAAACUUAAGGAUGAAAGUGAAAACUUUUUCAAACUACAAAUACAAAAGAUGUAUUUUUCCUAAACCACAACUGACCUUCUGUGCACCUGCGUCAUCUGAAGGAGAAAAAACUGCAGAAGUAAUCAAUUGUGAAUUUGAACUUGUGCUGAUGUCAGAGUUGCCUGCUGAAGAAGUUUGCCUUUUUGGUUGUCUUCUGCGAUGUCCACUAGGUGGUCUUAACAGUUUCCAUGAGAAUAUGACAGCAAGAGCCAAACCCGCAAUAGCACUAAGAGAUCGGAAAUUCUGCAACAAAUUAGAACAUGAAGCAUCAAAUUGUGAUCUUAGUUGAACAUCUGUUACACCUGCCACUGUCCAAAGAAAACAGACAACUCCAUCAAAAACAGGUAUUUCCAACAAAAAUUAGUACUUUGCAGCACCUGUGUUUUACUAAUGACACACACUGUGAUAGGAAUGCUAUGAGUAAAUAAUUAAAGUAUUAAGAGCAUAUUAGCAACUCAUUAAUGAGCCUGUUAGGGAAGUUUGAUUAUAAAUAGAGGUUAAGGGAAUGAGGAAGGUAAGCUAUAUUUUGAAGUAUGAACUACGACGUGAGAGCAUCUCAAGUUUGGGCGGGUCCAAGUACCUCGGACACUUGGUUUAUCAUGUAAUUCAAUAUCAUUUUAUAUUUAAUAUAUUCAGGUUCUAUUGUUUCUUUCCAGCAACCAUGUCACAAAAGUGCAUGCAACAACAAAAACAGGAGCUAAAAAACAAAAAAGUUUGUACUCGUAUUUCUAUCCUUAAAAAGUGUACAACAACCCAUCAAUAACUGUCGGAUUAUGCCCACUUUGGAUUCCUCAGGAUCUUGUCAACCUCAUUAGUUGAACUACUAGGAGCUCUGAAGACCGGAAAGUUGAAAUAUUUGCAAGGACAACUUAAACUAGAGUAAGUCUUCCUCCUUUAGAUAUGCUAGUUGGGGAUUCCUUUAGAUAUGCCUACUUUGAGGAUCGAUUCCCAUGGAAAGUUCCAAUUACCAAAGGGGCUACUAAGCUGAAGUGAAAGAGAAGUUAUUAGCCCACCACCACUAAUCUACAAACAUUUUUUUUAUAUAACAGCAUUCAUUGAAAAAAAAAAUUAAAGAAUACAAGAGCAUACAAAAACAAAGCCCACAAUAACAAAUUCCACUAAUGAAAGGGUUUCCAACUAACUAAGAUAUUGUCUAGCAAAUAAUAACAAAAGAUCUUCGAAAUCGAAGCCCAAAUAGAAACAUAGAACCUCGACAAGGACUAAAACUCACAAGGGUUCUUAUCCACACCUCAAAAUACUCCAUUGUUCCUCUCCCCCCAAAUAUCCCACAACAAAGCACACACCCCCAUGAAACACAAAAAACGACCUUUUUCUUUGAAAGGUGGAUGAAGGCAGAACUCCCCCAUCAUCAAACAAAUGUCCCUUUGGCGAGCAAUCACAAGCUCAAACUCCUAAGAUAACAAUUCUACACCAGUCCCGCAAACUUCCACUCCAAAGAAGGUGGUCAAAGUUUUCCUCAGCCUUCCGACAAACGAUACAACAAAAAUGAUCCAUUAACAAAGGCAUAUUUCUCGAGGUUCCAUUGUGUUCACACGGCUGAGAGAACUUGCCAAUGUCAAGGAAAACUUGACUUUCUCCAGACAUUGAUCCUCACCACUGUAUUGCAGAUUUAUGCAUCAAACCUUUUUUUUUCUUCUAGAAAAAAAAUCCUUUCAAGGACUACCAAAUAAGUGGUCAAUUUUUUAUUUGCCAAAGGGAGCAAGAGGAUUGUAAUUUGCAAACUGAGAUGAUCAACUUUGUUUCCAUGGCUCCUGGAAAAAACCUACUCAAGUCAAAAAAGGUACAGUAAUAAAGGAUCUCUUGGUCUCAAUUCAACUCUCUCAAGUGUUUAACUUCCCUCUUGAUCUCUCAUAAAAUAUAAGCUAUGAAGAUUGUAUGCAAAAGGAAUCCUCUGUUGCACAUUCCUGAAUUUGAGUCAAAGCCUUUUCCUUGAGAUUGGUAAUCACAAAUUCUGAUCACCAAACAGUACAGUUUCUCAUGGUUAAGUUUAUAGACCCCCCUUCUGCUUUUUUACUCCUCACUCAUCUUUGAGUGUGUUGAUAACAAGGAUGGGAUCCUAAACUUUUCCUUCUCCCACAAACACAACUUGACAUUUAAUAGUGAUUGAGGAAAAUUUGGCUACAAUCCCUCUUCCAACACUUUUUCCACCCCCUUCUAUUGAUGUUGUUAGAAUUAGCAGGCUUGUUGUAUGUUGAAAGCCCAAAGGUUUUCAGUCUUUUAUGUUUCCCUAAUGGUCUUUCAUUCUUUUAAUUAGGUUUGUAUUGCCUAUAAAUUAAUGCUCUCAUGUAUCAUUAGUUUUAUUAAGAAAGAUUUACACCGUAGUUUUUCUCCCAGAACUAGGGUUUCCACAUAAAACUUGUGUUUGUUCUUUGUCUCUACAUUCAAUAGAUGCUAUAUGUGAUAUUACCAUCCUGAAAUAGUCCUGUAACAUAGUCAUUACUCAUUGGAUGAUCUUGUUCCAAGACUUAUUAAAGGCAACGUGGACCAGGAUUGAAGACUACGAUCUACGAAUGAAAUUUCUUCAUUGAAUUUCAGUAAAACUUUGAAAUUGACACUUUGACAAGUGAGAUAGGAUCCUAGGUUAGAUGCCUGGGAAAGAAAUUUUUACCAUUUUUCUGUAGUCCACAACCUUUGAACAAAGAAGUAAAAAAAUUCAAGUUCUACUGUUGGUCACAAAUCGACUUCUCACAUCACUGGUCAGCACCUCCAAACAUCUACCUACAAUAAAGCUAUUUAUCCUGCUGGCCAUAAAAUUCUAUAGAAAAUGCUAGAGUUUCGAUCUCCCUCCUGAAGGGAUUUUGGUGUCACCUCUGAAGCCAUAAAACUUCCUUGCAUUGAAUCUAUGUUUUCAUUCAAAAUGCCCCUUUUGUCCGGCAACUCCAGGAUAAGGGAUUUUUUCUAUAAGCUCUUUAUUUAAAUAUUUGUCAUCAUUAUUAAUAUUAGUAGUAGUAUUAUUUUAGAUAUCAUUGCACCUUGACUAACAGCAAACAAAUAUGAAACACAAUGAUUAUAGCUAAAAUCAAACCACCAACUAGCAUCUGAGGUUACUGCUCACAAACAAUAAAAUCUUUUUAAGAAUUAGUAAAGUUACAGCUCUCGAUUCUGGCCAAUUUCAAACAAUCAUCAGACAUCAGUCAUAAUUUACCAGAGUGAUGGCAAGAACAUCACAACUUGGGAAAGACAACAAUCUUACUAAAAAGUCUACAGCAUUAACAAAUCAAUUAAGAGAGCCGGAUAGCUUUAUAUAUCAAUCAAGCGAAAUUAUGGGGCUGAGCAUUUAACACAAAUUCCAGACCCGUCACUACAAAAUCUAGAACGAGAAGCAGAAUUUGAAAACAGAAUUUCCAAAAAUGAACUGCAAAACGCAACGAAAUGAAUAGAGACGAAAGGAAUGGAAAACAAACCCGAGUUUGAAACAAUAUCGAGAAUAAAGUGGAGAGUUUAACACUUAGAUUACUCCCGAGCCUCUUGAUUAGCCGGACGAGCUCCUCUUUUGAAGAAAAUUCCGCCAUUAGAGAACCCUAAGACCCUGUGAUAUCGAAGAAUCCACGUCCGCCGCGGGGGUUGCUCAGUGGAUUACUAUUACGGCGGGAAGAGAAUACAUUUCCAUUCUGGUCUCCUCCAACCAUGAGAGCUUUCAAAGGAUUUUUUAAUAUUAUUAUUUUGAAAAGGAUUUUUUUAGUUUCAAAUAAGAGUUUCUGAAAAAUAAAAAAAUUGGCUAACUAUUUCGUCUAACAAAAUUCAUUAUUUUUCCAUCCAAUGUAAAUAUUUUAUUCUUAUUCAGUGUGUUUUUUUCAUCUUUUUUAAAUGAAAUAAGUUUUCUACUCUAUUGCUAAAUAUAUAGUUCAAUUGAUAUAAUGUUUAAGUUUUAAAAUUAAGUUGUUUGACUCAUCUAUCUUGUAUACAUACAUAGUUAAAAUAGUAAAUAAAUAUCACCUUUGAUAAAUUUUAACCUUGAAUAAUGAAAAGUUUUACAUUGAUUAAUUGUAAGUAAUAUUUACUCUACUUUUUAUACCAAGUCAAAUUUUACUCUUUAUUUUAUUAAAAGAAAUAACUUUUUUGGAACAAUCUUAAAGUUAGAAGAGCAAAAUUAGAAUUUUCCUGAGGUUCAGCCAAUUAACUAAAACUUAAUUCAAAAUUUUAAUUAAGGAUACUUAUGUAUAAUCUAACCAUUAUUAUUGUUAUAUUAUUAAAAAAUUUCAUGAUUUUUUUUCUCUAUUAAUGGAGCAAAAUCGACCUGAAAAUUACAAUGAAUUAUAAUACUAUGUUUUCUUAAUUUAUCAUUGAUUUACAUCCAAGAAGUCAGAUAGUAAAAUCCUUUAUUAUUUUCUUGUAAAAAGGUAUACAUAAGGAUUAGCCCAUAAACAGUUAAAAAAAUUUAAACCCAAAAGGAAUUUUAGAUCUAAAAAUUUAAUUUUUUUUUUAUGUAAUUUCUAUUUUUAAUUAUAUAAACUUAAAAACUUAAAAUAUCAUAAUCAAUUAGCUAAACUCAAAUUGAGUGGUUAUUUAAAAAUGGACGGUAUAUCUAACAGUCUUAACACUUUGCGUGUUUUUAGAAUAAGGUUAAAAUUAGAGCCUGUUUUUAAAUAUUAGAUUUAGAUCAGCUUAAUCAGUAAUGUAAUCUUAAUUAUAUAUAGAAAGUGUUAACUACUAAUGGAAUAAUAAUCCAAAUGGGAUAUGGUUGUGGGAAGUUGUUCUUUGUUCCCACUUUUUCCAAUCAAGUUAGGUCUUGUAUUCUUCGCUUUUUCUUCAACAAGUUUUCAUCAGCCUAACCCUAUCUUCUUCAUCUCCCCAAAAUUCUUCUUUCUUCUUUUGCAAGGUGCAACAUUUGGAGGUUAAAUAUUAAAUCUCUCUAACUUAGCGAUACAAUAAUUAAAUUUACCUUCAACUAUUAGUUUAGUUUAAGUUUUUUUUCAUGAAUUGACGGUUUAAUAUAGUAUCAGAGAGGUCCUUGCAUUGUCGUUUCCUUUCCAAUUAAAAUUGAUUUUCACUUGUUGGACAUUUCUACAAUAAUUAAAUUUGUCUUUAACCACUAGCUUAAGCUUUUAGAUGAAUUGGUUGUUUAAUAGUUUACACCUAUAUUAGUUUAAGUUUUUGGAUAGACUGAUGGUUUAAAAUGGUAUUAGAGAAUCCCAGAAUUCUUUGAGAUUAUUUUCUUAGCCUCGUGUUUAAGUACUUAUCAUGUUAUUUCCUCCUCAAUUAAUAUUAAUUUUCACUUAUUAAGUCUUUCUUGAUAAGUGUUAGAUAUUAAAUUUGUUUUCACCUAUCAACUUAGUGAUUUAAGGUAUGUAGUCAAAGUUUGGCCAAGUUAGAUAAAAUUAGUGUCGAUCUUUGUUACGGUAGGUAGAAAUUAAAAUUAAUUAACAAUAUUGACAUUCAAACCACUCUUAUUUUCUUUUGGUUCACACAUUCCUACAACUCAUACCUUCUCCUACCUAAGUCACUAACCACACUUCUUAUUCUCACCCACCUAAUAGCAUUAACAUUAUUUACUUGUGUAUUAGGCAUGUGAUACGUUGAAUCACUUGUUACAGUUCCUGACUUUCUUUAUCAUAAGAAAAGUUUGUUGAUUUUUAUAAAAAAAAUUACAUUCUUUUGCAAAUUUGCAAUUUGAAUUUUAUACCAUAAUUUUAAAAUAUGCGAUGUUGAAAAACUACAAAAUAACGUAUUUUUUGUAUUAUGUAUGACUCCCACUCGUCUAUGUACAUCCUAUGCACUUCAAACGUGUCAAAGAGUUCAUACAUUGACAUAGGAACACUCAUUUGAAUUUUGAUUGACUCAAAAUCUAACGAGUCUUGAUUAUCUGUCAUUCAUAUGUGUUAAUUUAACUUUAGAGAUGUUUUCAAACUCUUCAAUAAACCUUAUUUUGAAUUUCCAUCAUGCACUAUCUAGCUUCUACUAAGCAUGUCCCUAACACUUCCCUCUCAACCUCUACUUUAACUUGUUGAUUGACAUGACAUAGACAUGCUUUUCAACGUAUGUUUCUUUCAUGUUUCCUCCCAGAAAUCAAUCAGUGAAGGAAAACGAAGGCCUUGGGCCUUGGCUAGAAGCAGUUAUCUACCCUAGGCUUAGCUUUUCUUCUGCUACUUCUCGUGCAACCACUUAUUUUACCGAUCUCACAACCUCUCUUUCUAAUAGCAUGGACAAUCUCGCAGCUUUAAUUUGCACCUUUCCACUCUGUAUUAUGAAUCCCCCUCUUAUCUUUCUCUCUCUCCCUCCUUGGUCUCGCCCUUUUUCUCUCUUCGGCGAGGAGUAGUCUUAACCCAUUAUCAAAUGAAUUAGCAUGUGUGCAUAAGAUAGUGUUCUAAUGCUACCUAUAAUUAAGUAUCAUAGUUAUAUGUUGUUGAAUAAAGGAUAUAUUGGAUAAGUGCAUGAAUGUGUUAAAAUAUUACAAUUGAUCUAGAGAUUAUUGAGCUAGAUCAAACAUAAAUUUAAUCAAAUAUGAACUAGUUAAAAAGUAAUUAUCUUCGCACUGACACAUGUUGCCAAAGAAAAUACAAAGUCCAAAGUGCUAUCUGCCCAAAUGUGUUGAAUAGUUUCAAAUAUAACCACACCCAACUAAAAAAGUCUGGAAAAAUUAACUUAGUUGAUCACAUCCAUCAAAUUAAACCGGUGAACCUAAUGUGUUCAAACUUCAAAGAAAUUAAAUUCUUGUGUAUGAUAUGUUGAUGAGUAGGUAUAACACCUUGAUGAGUAGGUACAACAAGUCAAAGUGUCAAGCCGAUUUGGGUCGGUGUAACAUGUGUCUUAUCCUGUUCCAUUUAAAGUUGACAACAUCAUUUUAUUGUUAGGUUAUACAGGGUAACUAAAUACUCUCUCAAUUAUUCCUUGUUUUAUUACAUUGUUAUCUUUUAAAAAUAAUAAAGGAUAUAUAACAGUAUUUAAGAAUAUUUGUGAAGCAGAAUCACGAUGGAAAUUAAUUUAAAAAGAGAUGUAUUUAUUAAAAGAAUCUCAAUUGUGUAAUACACUGUCUAAGCUUAAAAAAAUAGAUUGAGUGUAUCCAAGACCAACUGAAAAGAUAUCUAAUUAAGUUUCGUACAACACCAAAAAGAUCUUGAAACUCAGAUUAAAGAAAAGACCUUCACUUUAAUAAUUGACCACUCACAUAAGCUCCACCACUAGAAUUAGAAAAUAGGAGGAGAAAAAAAUUAAAUAUUCACAAAUUUCAUAAUGGUGUCUAAUCUUCUUCUUCUUUUUUUUUUCCUUUUAAACUUUAAAUUCACCCAUUAUAUAUCAAUUGAGUUAUGGUAUGAGUUAGUUAUUAAAUGUAAAAGAAUGUUCUUGGUUGGUAUACCUAUGAGUGUUUAAAUUUUGAUUUGAUAAGAACAAAAUAUUAGAAAAGGGGUGGCAGGAGCAGGGGGACAUGAUCUCCUAAAAUCAGAGAUUUUUCACUUUAAUUAUAAGUUUAUAACAUGGAAGAAAAAUAAUGAUAAUGAUAAUAAUAAACAAGGCCAAAUUAAAGAAGGAAAUUACAGAAAGAGACAAGGAGUUUUCAAAACUUGGGAGCAAUUCUGAACAAAACUAUCUGAAUCACAGUGGUAAUUAAGGAAAUUCCUCUCCCUACUCACAAGACUUGGAGGAAGCACAACCUCCAUGGAAGCUCCCAAUAGAUACCGUUGCGUGUGGCUCUGGCAGGUGUUGCAAAGCAAGCACCGGACGUGCCGCAGGGCCAAGAAAUUCGCGCUGUGAACCGAUUUGUCGCACUUCCCGCACAAAUACGCCUCGUCGGCUUCGCAAUACAGCGACGCCCUGGAACCGCAUAGCUCACACCGUACAGGAUCGCCACCGCCGGCUGCCCCGUCAUCGGUGGUCCGACGUUGCCGGACGGCGACUUGGGUCGUUUCUUCCUGUUCUACACCUUUGCACAUGAUUGUUUAAUUUGUUGGAAAUGGAAGCUUGAUUGUCAAGGAAAUGGGGAUUUUGAGGGUGUUGAUUUAUAUAUAGAAGGUUGGUAAAUAGGACAAGAAGGAAAAGCAAGUUUCAUUAUUUAUAAUCAAUCAUACCCUUUAUGUUAUUUUUUUAUUUAGAUAUAAAAUAAAACAUUAUAAAAUUUUACAAUUCAA